RNAcentral lists this long non-coding RNA (56823 nucleotides) under Ananas comosus (pineapple). RNAcentral describes it as "long non-coding RNA (ACOM_LNC020103)". The record is from RNAcentral. Lineage: Eukaryota; Viridiplantae; Streptophyta; Magnoliopsida; Poales; Bromeliaceae.
AAUCUGACACAAUCCAAUUGGGACUGUAAGCAUAUCCGUCCCCGGGACUGUGAAUACACCCGUCCCUGCCCCGUUGCGACUGUCCAGCUACCUCCACACUAACUGGUCCGUGGAGAGCAAGUCCAACUGGCAUGAGCGACACCAACGCGAAAGCACAAAGCCCGUCUCCGGAGUGGCACUCGUGGGCGCUACCCAACCGAGUAUGCAGCGUAUCUCUGUCGAGCUCAAUCAGGCUCUCAAUAGCCAAAGUCAAGUAACCGACUCAAACUGGUCUAACAACCAACAGGUAACGUGCCCUCGGCACAAUCUGACGCCAAAAAGGCGAUACGGGUCCACCGUCAACUCUGACGGCACCCAACAGUCCGGAACAACCUGAACGACCCUGUAAAAAUUCACUCGGCAUACCAGCACGAGCGUAAAUGUAUUCUAAACUACCUGGAGUACUCGUCUUGAGGAUACUGCGACAGUACAAUUUUAUAACGGCUCCUAGAGCUAAAUCAGGCAGUUUAAACAGGUGACAGGUCCAAAUCGCAGGUUUUCUCCUAAUUCAAUUUCCAAGUCCAACAUGUAUAACCUACUUAAUUUAUUACCACAUGCUCCAAAUUCAGAUUUGCAAUCUAUCAUAUAAUCCAUGAAUUCGAGCUAGAAUAGAUUAUCAAAAAUCGAGAUCUAUACAUGUCGACGAUUAUGAACUUAGGAGUCAAAACCGAUGUAACCCACCUCGCACGCUAAUCCCUGGCAGCACGGAACCCCCUCGGCUGCGACACCACCUGCUGGAUCGACCAAAAACGCCCGAGUCUCGAAAUCGAGCUAACUCCAAACUAAAAACACCAAAAAUCCUCAAUUCAGUCCAAAAUCCACAGCAGCAGAGAAGAGAAGGAUUUCGACCAAGCUAACCUUCACCAAAAUUCGCAAGUAAGGGCUUCGUGGAUUCCUCUCGAAGUCCCGAAUCCAACGAACCAAGUCUCGUCGCAAUCCGAUGCUCCUACGUCGAGAACGAGCUGAAAUACUAACAGUCGACGACAAGAUCCUGCGAAUCAGCACUUAGGCUCGAAUUAAUGAUACCCGAAGUAUGCGCAGCAAUUCCACAGAGCACUCACCUCGAUAGAUCCUCAAGAGUCGGCGCAAUGUCGAGGACGACGGAAAUCCACGCUCGCCCGAGCUCCUCACAGCACCAAGACGACACAACGUGCGCCCGAACGGCUCCGCGGCACCACGUCGGCGACGAAACUCCACCCGAGCUCCACCUUGCUCACAAUCGGCUCUAGAGAGAGAGAGGGAGAGAACCAAGAGCAAAACUCUCUCUCUCAGUCUCACUCUACAAGUAAAUAAGCUGGGGAGAGGAGGGUGAUACGAACGAGGUAGAAAAAGACCAAAACACCCCCUCACCUAUCCUGGUGUACCGGUACACGGGAUCGCGUACCGGUACAGGAGGCCAACCCGAGAGCAGUACGUGCUCAACCAGUAUAGUGUACCGGUACACCUCGCUGGCCGUACCGGUACAGCAAGCAGGAAAAUCUGCUAUUUUGCAGAUUUCUUCGCUGAAGGCUGCCCUCGCGUCGCACGGAGUCCGUUUUGCGUCUAUUUGAUGCCAACGCGACUCGGACUUGUCCCGACACUCUUCAGAGCUGUCGACAAGCCUCCAUAGUCAAACACCAGGGAUCUCACAAAUAUUGCGUAUGUCACUCUCAAUACCAAACAGGCUUGAGUUUAUCGGCAAACUAUAAUAUUAUUAAAUAUGGCGCAUAUAAAUGCGUCUCUAAUAAAGUUUAAUUACAAAAUCAAAAUUACAUUUGUUUUCUUUGAGUUGUUAGUCACGUAAAAAAUAAAUCCAAAUUUAGUCAAAAAUCAAUAUUCAAACCUAAAUGUAAGGGAAAAAAAAAAAAAAAAAAAAAAAACGUAUGUUGCAAUCAACCAUCUGAUUCCGAAUUUUAUUAUUAUUUUUUUAAUAAUCGGCAGUAAUAUGAAGCUCAAAAAACUUAAAUAUCUCUGCAUUUCAUCUCGUAAAACAAUAAAAAAAGGUAAACAUAAAAAUUUUAAGCGUCAAAUGAUUAUCACGUGCUAUAAUUAAAGUUUGUGUAUUUUUAUUUUUUAGUUUUUAAUGUUUAAGUGGUUAAGUAUAAUCAUAUGAAAUAUCAAAAGGUAUAACAUACUUUUUUUAUAAAUAUAAUAAUAUAUCUUAAAUUCAAAAUGAUUCAAACUCAUUACUUCUGAAUCCAAAAUGUAUUGGGCACCCAAAUGACACAAAGAUUGAGCCUCAAAAUUCGACUUAAGUAUAAGAUGCAUUAACCAACUACAUCGUAUUUAUUUACAACGACAUGUACGAUUAUAAUAUAAUUUUUACAAAAUAAUUUGUUAGUGCACCCUUUUAUCAUAACCGAACUCAAACUUGAGCUUAUAGUAAUAUGAUGUGGAUCGAAUUAUUAUGGUCACAGAUAUAUGCAAACAGAUCUGACUUAGUGAAGUUUUGGACUCGAUUUUGUUCCAAAUGGGGCGGAAAGCAUGGCGUCAAAAAUAAAAAAUAAUAUAAUGCACAAGAAUCCGUCAUAAUCGGCUAAAUUAAAUGGAGCAGGAGACAGGAGACCCCUUUCUCUUUUAAUCUGCUCCGAUCCGCUAAAAAUUCGUCAAAAAUUUGAUCAGUCCCAAAUUGCACUAGAACUGGGGCUGAGAAAUAAAAUAAAAAUUAACCCGUAUGAAUCUGCUCUGACUUGCUAAGAUCUCCUUCUACCUCGGGAUCCACACUAUUUGCAUCCCUAAUCCGCUCCGACCUGUUAAGAUCCUCUUCAAUCUCGGGAUCUGCACCGUUUGCAUCCCUAAUUAUGGCGGGGCCCAAAUUAUUCUAUACCGACAAAGUGACAAAAAAAAGUAAAUAAAUAGAUAGUAAAUGCCCUAGUGGUGGCAACCAUGAUACGUGAUGAUGUGACACAUGGUUCCCCCGUUUGGGUGGAGUUGAUGCGGAAAUGCGCGGUUGCUAAAAAGCACUUUUUGUAAAAGCCAAAUGGGGAAUUUUGUGUUUUUUUUUUUUUUUUCUCUCUCUCCUCAGCUAUGGAAAAAUGAGUUUCCCCCUAGCGCUACUGCGUCGUGCCGCCGCUUCUCACACUAAACUCUACAAAGUAGCAUCUUUUCCAUAAGACUAAUAAAUUACAACAAAACUCUCCAUUGAACACUUCAUCACGUAUACAUCUUAAUUAUAAGCGUAAAUUUUAAAUGUCAUUUCUAUAGUUUCACAUUUUCUUACUUUAGUACUAUAUGGUUUAAAGUGUAUCAAUUUAGCAUCUUGUGGUUUCAUUUUUUUCUUUUCGUAAGCUCCUCCGUUAACAUUUCGUUAAAUUAUAUGCAAAAAAGUUCAAAUAGCCCACCUAGGUUUCUCGUAUAUUUAUUUUAGUAAUUUUUAGUUUUAACUUUGUCACCGAUUUAAUAAAAAAAAUUAAUGAAGAGAAUAAUAAAAAAUAAAAAUAAAAAUACGGGACACUACAUUAAUACACUCUAAAUUAUAGAAUACUAAAAUAAAAAAGUAAAAAACCUAAAAAUAAAAAUAAGAAGUAGCUUUCAUCCUGCUCUACAGGACUCGGCCCACUCUUUUGCAAACACUCCAAUAAUUCGGACGUCACCCUGCUCUACAGGACUCGGCCCAUUCUUUUGCCAACACUCCAAUAAGAUUAGCUGUUCGGGAAACGUCGCUGGGUAGAUUUCUGAAGAUGACGUUAUUUAUAUCGUGCCAGACCAACCACCAAGUGGCCGCAACCAAGGUAAGAGCCUUCGAAGCGUCGCACUGCAGGCGCCUCUCUAGUAGCCGCUCCCAGACAAUGUUGGUAUCUUCAAAACACGGGUAUCCGAGAUACUCCCCAAGGUGCGAGUGAAGAAGAAACUUACUAACAAUUCACCCCAAUAGCAGAUGGUCUACAGUCUCGAGCUCAACACCACACAAUUUCGCGCCCCCUUCCUUCUGUUUUUUCGCUUUUCUGAGGCCCUAGCUGUUAGAUGUAUGCCCUAGAAGCCAGCCAGGUCGACACAUAUAUUCAUUCUAGGGCAUAAAUUUGUAUUUGACUUUUAAAUAUUAUGAAUAUCUUUGGAUUUUUAUUUUCAUUGAUGUUGUGUAUGUGUCCAUGAAUCGUCCAAGGAAUUAAUAAGAUGAUGACAUAUAUUCUCAAGUGUUGAAAAUUUGAGACAUGUGCCAUUGGUGGUUAAUUUCUAAAUGCUCCCGAUCAAUGGAUCAUCACGGGGACGGUGAUUGAUCCGGUGAGAUUGGUGCAUAAGUCGCUUCCCUUUCUGGUUAGACGAGUCUCGAGUCGACAGUGUGGGGACACUGAAGCGAAUAUGCAGGUGGUUGCUGGAGAACAAGGGUACCGAGCGUGAGCAACGCGAGAAGUCACUUGGAUGUCUACUCACUCGUCAGUGACUUACUCAAUUGUUGCAGUAGUGUGACUGGUCCUUUGACCUGCGGUGCCUCGGCUAUUCACAAUGAGGUUACUGUAGUUUGACUGUACAUACACUUGGUCCCUAGCCAUUCGGGUCCUUGCGGUGCAUGUUGGCUGCAGUAGGUUCAUUGUAGGAAUAGGGUGCGCACUUAGAUGGAAUCUAUCUCCCUUGGUAGAUAGGGGUGUUAGUCCUAUGUGAUUUAUGAGACCGAGUUUAGAAGACCUUGGCCAGGGCAGAAUAAAUAGCGGAAAAGGGUUUCCGAUAUUAGAAACUCGAGUCGAAUAAAUUUAACAUAUGACAGACGAUGGGGUUUGACGAGUUAUUCCAUAACCUCCGUCUAGUCGGGACUCAUGAUAGAAGGAUUGUAUCACACGGUAACUGCACCAAGAGGUUCAGUAUUCCAUUCUACUGGAAUGCCACUACAUGCUGCUAGGCGUCACUGGUGGAUUGUGAGACUCAUGAGAAUUAUCUAGAUGAUCGAUAAUUCUCAUUGGGCUGAGUUGGAAUUGUUCCGAUCCACUGAAAGGAGUUUCAGUGAUAUUGUUGAUAGUGAUCAAAAUAUAUCUCACUACCAGAUAGAAUAGAACCUAUGGGGUCACACACAUAAGAGGUUGUGAUUGAUCGGAUAGCUAGAUCGCGAUUAUUGAAUCGCCGGAGGACCUAAUUGUCAAUAUAAUGAUAAUUGGACUAAUUUGUAAUUGUUACAAAUUAGUGGUAUUAAGGUGUAAAUGUUACAAGAGAGGACUUACUAAUAGUUAGUAAAUUAUAAGAGGACUUAUGUGCAAAUGUUGCAUUAUUAAUUUGAUAUGAUCAAAUUAAUAUAAAGAUCGAAUCAAAUUAGGAUUUGAUCGAUCUAACCAAUUAAGGAAAGGAUAAAUUUAAUCUAGAUUUAUAGUUAUCCUUAAUUGUCAUUAUAUUAUUAGGAAUAGGAUUAUAUUCCUAUAUAUAUAACAUACGGGAGUUUUUAGAAAACCCUAACCGUCAUCUAUCAUCUCUUCUCUCUUCCAUCUUCUAGCAAGAAAGACGUCUUUUUGCAAGGGAGCUAGCACCCCGGUGAGGACAUCGAUCAAAUCAAGAACUUCGUGUGGAUACCUAUAGAGGCCGGACGCGUGUGCGGCUUCAAGAGAACCGAAUUUCACGAUCAUCAAAUUGAGGUGAAGAUUUAUCCGCGAAUAAGAUAAAGAUUCGAUCUUACUCUUCUCCUUUAAUCUUAAAGAACAUGAGGGAUCCUAAUUGCGUGGUUUUUGAGAUUUGAUCUCGAGAGUUUUCAAAAAUCAAAUUUGUUUGAUUUUUUUUUCCGCUGCGUUUUUACCGUACGCAAUUUUCUAACAGUGGUAUCAGAGCCAUCCUCAUGUUUUUAAGAUUGAAAUUAUGAUUUUUGGGUAUUCUAAACCGUUUUUUGCCGAGAAAACAAUUUAUAGAUCGUUUUUGGAAAAUUCGAAAAGAUCAAAGUGAUUAACAAUUUCGCGCCACUAGCAGAUGGUCUACAGUCUCGAGCUCAACACCACACAAUUUCGCGCCCCCUUCCUUCUGUUUUUUCGCUUUUCUGAGACCCUAGCUGCCUUACUUCAUGUAGCUAAUUUCAUUUUCUUAAUGAAUGAAGCAGGUAACGUGCUGCCUUUCUCUCUCAAAAAAAAAGUACAAAACCACCGGGGUGGUAUUUGAAGUUUUCUCUAAUUAUAAGCUCUAGAAUGGUAUCUCGUUAGGAAACUCUCAAUCCACUGUCGCGUGGUAAUUUUACUUUUAUUCAAAAAUUGUAAACUGCGUUGCGUAUUAUUUUAAUCCCAAAACUAAAAAAAAAAAAAUUACAACUUUAGAGAGAAAAGUUAUAAUAUUUGAAUAGAAACAAAAUUAACACGAAACAGCAGAUUAUGACUUCUCAAUGAAAUGUCAGGUUUUUUUUUUUCUUUGGCAAAUAAUUAUAGUUUUCAUAAAUGAGUUGGCCCCCACUUUGGGAAGGGGAGGGUAGAUCCAAACCCUUUUAGGAUUGAGUUUUUAUAUAUAUAAUAAUUUAGUAAUAGAUUUUUUUUUUUUACAAUAAAAUUUUGUUUUUAUUUUUUAAUUUGAAUCCUGUAUAUUGUUACUGUGUCAAAUUAGUUGUAUCUUAGACGGAUGGUCAGAUUAAAAUUGGUAAAAUCGCGUGGAGAUCCCCCAACUUCAGGCAAUGUUGAAUUAAGCCUCAUAAAUAUUCUUUUGUCAUUGGCGCCCUGUUAAUUUUGAAAUUUUCAUUUGAGGUAUUUUUGUUUGUCUAUGUUAUACAUUUUAUUAAGUUUAAUAUUUUUACUAGCUUUUUUUUUUUUUGUUAAUACCUGUAGGGGUUAUUUGCUACAAAGUGAAUUAAGUUAUUAAACUGGAUGAAAUCGUUGGUGGAGUUUGAUAAAAUCAUCAAUUUAUUUGCUAAAAUCACUUAAUUCUAAAAUAUUCUAGAUUCAGAAGGAGUUAAUAAUAUGAGUUGAGCUAGAAUACUAUCGAUAGCAAAUGGGCUCCGUUGCCACCCAUUUGUUUUCGAUGAUGGAGCCUCCAAAUUGACGAUCAGCACUGUUGAAUAUGAUCUAUACCACUUGAAGUGUUUAGAAAUCAAAUUUUAUAUAUUUUCGAUAUUGUUCUCUUAUCUAUCGAGCGGACAUAAAAAUAAACGGCUGAAAAUGAAUAUUCUUUAAAAAAUGAUGAUAGGAGUCUUGUAAUCAAGAUCAAAAGUAUAGAUCUUGUUUUAAAUAGUUUAAAAAAUUUUCUAACAAAAAUUCAAUUAAUUUGGAUAUCUUUACGCCGUUAAACGAGAAAAUGCCUCAUAUUGACCAUUAAAAUUACAAAUUUUGAAAUCCUUUGAUCAUUAGGCAAAUGAUGUCAAAAAAAUUUGAAAAUUGAUUUCUAAACACUUCAAGUGGUAUAGAUCAUGUUCAACGAUGCCGAUCGUCGAUUUGGAGGCUCUAUCAUCGAAAACAAAUGGCUGACAAUGGAGCCCGUUUGCUAUUGAUAGUAUUCUAGCUCAACUCUUAAUAAUAUAUAUAUAUAUAUAUAUAUAUAUAUAAACUUGAGUGAGCCAUUUCACAAUUGCCUAUAGUGGAGGGAGUUAUCAUGAAUCUUUAACUUUUAUAUUUUAUUUGGAAUUUAAAAUUGGGAGUGGGAAUCACUUUGUGAAAGUGUAAGAUUUGAAAGGAAUAUAAGUGCCAAUAUUUUAAACAACUAUAUAAUUUAUGUAAAGCUAAACAAAAAGCAAUGAGGAGAAAAUCUCUUAUUAAUGAUAAGAAAUAUAUGAUUUAACUUUUUUUGUCUUAAUGCAAAGGCAUAUGAAAGCAGUUAAUUUAAUAAAUAAAGUUAAAUAAUGAUUACUAGCUUAGGCAUAAAAGCAUGGCAUCUUUGAGGUUAUAUUCCAACUGAGAGGAUAUGAUAAGAUGGAGAGAGAGAGAUUGAAAGAGUUAAUAUAAUCACCUUUACAUUUAACAAAACUAUAUAUUAGGCUAAAUUAUGAAAAACUUUCUUAUAAAUAUCUAUUUUUUCACUUUUUCUCUUUAAUAUUUAAAAAUUUAUAUUUUACCCUCUUAAUAUUUCAAAUUGUUGAAUUUAAUCCAUCUUCGUCAGAUUUUAUCAUUAUUUCGCCCAUUUCUUAUAAUGUAUACCAAAAAUAUGCUUCAAAAUGAUAAAAAUAUAUUCAAAAAAAAUUUCUUAUAGAAAAAGUGAGGACAAUUUGAUUAUUUCACCUUCUCCAUUAUUGUCGUAUUCCCUUGAAAAAAUAUUUCUGAAGUUACAAGGGGGCAAAAUAUAAGUUUUUGAAAGUUUUUUUUUUUUUUUGAGAGAUAGGUAGCACGUUACCCGCUUCGUUUAUUUUAUUUAGAAAUAAACUUUGCUGGAAAUGUAAAUCAACUAGGAUUCGAACUUGGGUUUCGGGUACCAACCACCAAGCCCUUUGCCAUUUGCUCUAGGAACGGUCGGUAUAAGUUUUUGAAAGUUAGCGAGAAAAAACGAGAAAAAAAUAAAAAAGCGAGUACUUACGUAGGAGUUUUAUAUUAUUUUGCCAACUAUUAAUUUAACUAUUAAAUAUAAACGAUUAAAAUAUCAUUAUUUUGGUAGUUCAACUCUUUAGAAUAAAUCAAUUGUUUCACAUGAAUUAAAAAUAAAAAAUCCUUAGAUCAAAUCUAGAUUUAUGCUUUUAAUAUGGAUCAUAACCACUAACUAACUAUCCCAAAAGUAUAUGAUGAUAGAGAGAAAGCAUCCAUUGCAUUUAACGGCACAACCACAACGCUCACGGACUUUGACCUAACACAACUCAUCUGUACGUUAGAUCUACUGUUGGAUUUUUUAUCGUUAAGUCUCUUAUGGAUUAAAGCCCCACUCAAUUUAUUAAUCUCAAUUUAACUCAACUUAUCUUGGAAAAUCUGACCUACCUGCCGCACCUACACCCCUACAGUACAUGCUGAAAGAAAUGGUGCACCAUUGCACUUAAGAGAUCAACCACAAUACUCAUGAGUUUUGACCUGACUCAACUUUUCUGAACGUUAGGUCCAUUGUUAGAUUCAUUGUUGGGUCUCUUAUCGUUAAGUUUAUCGUAGACCGCAAACUCACUCAACUUAUUAAUCUCCCAUAUUGUCACGGGACAAAAUGUUGGACAUAUUUCAAGCAAAAUUUACAGCCUUCUAUAAAAAUCAAAAGUUCAAUAGAUUUCUACCCAAAAAAAUUAAAAAAGGAAAAAAUGUAUAGGACUUGCUUGAAUUAUGAACCAUUUUGAAUCUAUACCUUUGAAAAUUUUAAUUUUAAUACCCAACCUUUCAAUUUGUUUGAUUCGAGUUGGUCAACGAUAUUUUGACUUAAAAAUUUGAAUGCUUCGCAUAUCUUUACAGAUUUUGUUAAUAUAAUUUCAUACAAUUCUCAUAGCUAUAAAUUCAUUAAAAUAAUAAAUUAGCAUUUGAUGAUUUGAUCUAAACUAAUUUAUUAUUGUAAUACCAUUGACUAACUCAAAUCAAAUAAAUUAAAAGUAAAAUCAAAUUUUUAAAAAGUCAAAUAAUCAAUUCAAAAUAGUCCAUAGUUCAAGUUCCUCCCAUCUCCGUUUAUCCCCGCCCCGUUUAGGGCGGAUCCCCACAAAAUCCAGAUCCGCGGAGAAAAUAGUCAUUUCUAGUUUUCCACAAGUUUUAUAAAUCAAGAAGUAUAUUAUGAAAAUGUAACUCCACAAUAAACUGCUUAAAACACUAAAAUAAAGCAGCUGCUGCAUUCAGAUGACCAACAUUCUUAUCACAAAAGAAAAGGGGAGAGAGAGAGAGAGAGAGAGAGAGAGAGAGAAACAAUGAGCAUACAAAAUUCAAGAAAAGGAUCAUGCUGCUUACAAUCUGCAAUGUUCAUAAAAGAUUGUGCAUCUCUAGUCUUUUUAGCAAAAGGGCACAAACUCUGACACUUUUUAGAUUAGGCACUAAGAACUACAUUAAGCACACUAAGAGGAGCUCAUAUAUUUGAAGGGGGGGUUGGGAACUCAAACAACAUAUCGAUAGGUCACGUAUCUUCCUGCAGUCUCACUCGGUCGAAUGAUCUUCACCACCUGCCCACGUUUUAGGCCGUAGUAUCUCGCUAUUGGGUCCGUAACUUGAAUCCGAGGAAGCUGGAUGCAUGACCCAUCAAUAAUGUCAAUCAAUAUUAAUAUAUAUAUAUAUAUAUAUAUAUAUAGAAAAUAUAAAUGUUAUGUUUUAGAAAAUUACUUUACACAACCAGUAGCUAUGCAAACCAAGAGAAAACUGUUAUUAAAUAAUUAUAUCAACAAAAGAAAAGGGGGAAAUAGCAGCAGAAAUAUGAUGCUUGUUAUAGAAAGUUUCUAAAUUGUAUCUCUGAUAACCAUUAACAUUUAUAUUUUCUAUAUAUAUANUACACAACCAGUAGCUAUGCAAACCAAGAGAAAACUGUUAUUAAAUAAUUAUAUCAACAAAAGAAAAGGGGGAAAUAGCAGCAGAAAUAUGAUGCUUGAUAUAGAAAGUUUCUAAAUUGUAUCUCUGAUAACCAUUAACACAGAACAAGCUCUCAAAUCAUAAACUAUACAUUAUCUGAGCCUCGAAGCCAUAAAUUGUCUUGCAAGAGAAUUUCAAACAAGAAUUAGUUAAUUCUUUCAAGUGUUGAAUCCAAGGAGACGGCUUAUUAAGUAAUUAUGUAAAGGAUUGUUAAGUCUUUGUAUACAAGUUUUUCUUUAAAUUGAACUCGCAAAGUAGAUUGAGCAUUAUCUCUAAUCAUGUAAAACUCAAGCUUCAUAGGAACUUAUUUGCUUGCCAAGGGAUUGUUGCUCUGAGUCCUGAACUGAGACCGACAACAUAAUUUCUUCUAGGUUUUUAAAGGUUGUGAAACUCAACGAGCGCUUAUGAACUCUAAGUACAGCUACACAUUUCGCGUAGGUUUUUUGCAGUUUCAAAAUUCGAUAGUCACUUGUGAACUCUAAAUAUAGCUAGCUUCUACUUCCUCCGGAAAGUACGCAAGUUACGUUGCGUAAGUGAUGAUUAGCAUGACAUAUGCAAGCAGGGUAAGAAACUUAACUGCAAAGAUUGUGAAAAGGGAAACACAGGGUACAACAAUACAUAUUCAUACCAGUAUAUGGCCAACAAGCAUGUAUUAGUCAAUCGUUUCCUUUUCCCAAGAAUUUAAACCAAGAAACUGGGAGAUAUAUAUGACAAAUAUGGAUAGAACAAACUUAAACUUUUAUAACAAAGAUGCAUGCCUUGCCAAGCAGGUCAAAAGUAGAUGUAAGCAAUUUAGACUUCAAUAGGCAGUCUGUAUAUUAAUAUUAAUAUAUGGCAUGAACAAAACGGAACCAGCAGCUCCUUACUUUAUUAAGCAAGAAAACAACCACAUCAAAUCAGUCAAUUAGUCUUUUUAGAAGCUUUGUCCGAGUAGUCAAUUUUUAAAUGACAUUGAAACAAUAAAACAGUAGGUACUGUCAAGCCUGACCCAUAUAAACAAAUAAAAGAGGCGAUGGGAAAAAGGAGAAAGCCAGAAAGGAACAUGGGACAAAAAAGGGAUAACUGGGAAAAUAGUUUUAGUCCAUAAACGGCUUAGUUACACUGUACUACAUUGUACUUUACAUAUUUUUUCACCUUCUACAUUAUAAUACUGUUUUAUUUUUCAAAAGAACCACUCGACUAUCCUUUUUUUUUCAAUCCCUGCACUAUAAAUAAUAAACAAAUAAUUUUGGAUGAAAGCUGUUAAAAAAUACUGAUUGAAAGUGAUACGGCAAAUAUUCAUCUCGUUUUACAUGAAUAAAAACAAAAUACAUUAAGAUAACGAAAAAAUAGUUAAAUAAAAAUUUGAUAGAUGUUUUUAGUGAGUUUAUAUAAAAAUUCAUUUUACAUUUUUCCAACUAUUUAACCAGUGCCUUUUUAAAAACUUGAUAGAUGUUUUUAGUGAGUUUACCAUAAAGAUUCAUUUUACGUUUUUCCAACUAUUUAACCAAUGCAUUUUAAUAAAGAUGUUACAUUUUCUCUAAAACAGUAGAUUUGUUGUAGAGAUUGGCGAGAAAGAAAUAGUUGAGUGAUACUUAUGAGGAAAGAGAAUAGUACAAGGUAGAAAAAAUGGAAGUUAUUUAAAAUACAGUGUAUAGAUUGAUAAAAUAUAAUAAAACAAUGGUGUCUUUGAAAAAAUAUUAGUAAAAUGCAGCAAAUAAAAAUAACACUAAAGUACAGUAUAGUAGGGUGUAAUGAAGCCUUCAUAAAAAGCGCAACAUAUUAAACUUCAAGGACUAGAGGCUAAAGUGCAACCCACAUAAUAAUCUUGAGGAACAAUGGCGGAAUUUAGCCAUUUUAGUCCAAACAUCUAUAACAAUUAGGAUGAUUUAGACCUGGAGAAACCCAUUUUGCAUACCAUGUAAACCAAAUCAUUAUGAUAAAUCCUCGAUAACAAACUAUCAACUGCCACUACAAUUCACCUUCCAAGGGAGGAAUCCCAAAAGGGAUAUCCAAAAAUGUUGCAGUAUGCUAUGCUGCCUACUUCACUAAAAUUAUAAAAAUCCGCCUUAUAGCAACCACCCACCAUUCACAAGUGGAAAUAACAAAUAGGACAAGGACCGAACAAUAUGGAAACAACCUAUACUAUCAAAAUUUCCCUGAGAGAGAGAGCGAUGGUAGAUAUCAUUCAGCUCCAGUCCUAUUCUUAGUACUGAUUUAAUGACACUGGACAUUAUAUGCAUUUAAACAAGAGGUGCUAUAACAUUUACAUACAACUAAGAUAAUAUCUAGCUGACUAAAUGAGGUAUGAUUGCUUAGUCUUGUCCAAUUUUGGCCCUAAAACAAAUGACACUUGUCCAUAUCGUAUGUAUAUGAUGAUGAGCACAACAAGUGGAUAUAAAUUUGCUUUUUGAUUAUAAAUUACGAGACUUUGCAUAAUUAUUCAGCAGACAUUUUCUAUUCAUGAAAAAUCUCUCCAACAAAUUACCACAAGAAUUGUGAGAUUUCAUGUGUUAAUUCCAUUGAUGUUGUAAGAAGUCAAAGUAUAAGGAAUUACAUAGAUGUUGUUUUCCACACCGUGGGUUUAUACCAUAUAAUUAUUAUUUAGUAUAAUUAGCCUAUGUUCACAGCCGUCAGAACUCAAAAAAAAAUCUGGAUUCUGUUGAUACAAUGCACGUAAAAAAAUGAAGUUGAUGUACUAAUAAUUCAAAGAAUUACCAAAACAAUGAUUAAAUAAUAAACAGCAGCCAAAAAAAAGAAAAAGAAACGACAGUUCAACUUACCUGAGUUUCUUUUACAGUAUAGCGCUCCAACAGUGUCUUCUUCUCCUCUGGAGUCAACAGUUGAUGCUCUGGUACAAGUACAUGCUCUUUGAUGUUGACCAAAAGCUCUGCCUCCUGCAUUUAGUACAUAGUAUAUAAAACGUCAUUUCAUAUCUUUCACAUGCAAUUAGAAGCUAAAGAAAGAAAAUCGUUCAAUUUAUGCACUAAGGUGCAAGUUUCAAUGUUCUCAUGCUUUAGAAAAUAAAUAAGCACUCACUUUAAAGGCUAUUGUAAUACCAAAAACGAUUGAAAGGGAAAAAAAAGAAUCACCUGAAAAACUUCCAAAUGAUAUUUCUGAGAAACUUCAAGCAAGGAUGAUCUGGCGAAGGGAGUCAGAUUCUGUUGAGCAACUAAUAUUCCUCGCAUCACAUUCUCUGCUUUCAUCCGUUCUAUAUAUUGUUUUAUUUGUUUCACGCCAACUUUCGGUUCUUCCGGGAAGAACACAUAAAUCUGGAUCCAUGAACAAGAGAAGAAGAAGAAAAAAUUGUGUUAUUGGAUAUGGGAGUAGGCAAAUAGGCAGUUUGGCACAUAAUAAAGAGGCGAAAUUUGAGCUGAUAUAAUCUGAGUAAACAACUGCAAUAUAUGAAUUGUAUAAGGCUAAAUAGAUAAUGCAAAUCAAGUACAGACCGAUAAUGCAAGUGUGCAGAAAUUUACUAAGGCAGAAAGUAAACUACACUAAAUUUUUCUUUUCCUCCAACCUAAUCCAGAUGGAUGACACAGAAUACAUGGUGGCAAAGAGGACUAAACAUAAAAAAGCAAAGGAGAGAUAAUGAACAAACUAAUAAUACAUGCGGGUGACCAUAAAACAAAUUGUGCUCUCAUUUUCAUUCUGAUUACUUACAUUAAUGAAGACAAAGGAAAAUAAUAGAAAUGGUUCUUCUAUGCCAAACAGAACCUUCUCUCCUCGCUAAGGCAUCAAUUCCCUGACCCAUUAUUUUUUUCGUAGACAAUUGUUAUAAAAACAUAUUUAACGUUCUUACUUUCUAGCAGCUGAAGAUGAGGACAAACAUGAUUCUAAUUAAAAUUACAAGAAAACAACAACUAUUCACUCAAAAAUAAAAGUGGGCAUGCCCAUAAUGACUGUUUGAAGGACUUUCAUCCAUCCAAACACAAUUGUUCCAAAUAAACUACACCAUCAAAGACAAGAUCGGUCUUCCUUCUUAAAAGGGAGCAAAUUUCAUAACCUUAACUAUAAUAGUCUUAAGCAGACCAACGAUAACUCCAGUACAAAGUUAAUAUGCUAUUCCAGAGUCCUCUCUUUGAAAAUACUUGAGUAGACCGCAUGGACGAACAUCUUAUAAAUUGAAUUCACAUUUUUUCUCUCUAUUUCUGCCAAUACAAUGUCCUUCUAUUUUCUCUGUUAUUCCCAGUGCCUCCUUAUGGUUCACAAUCUGCCUUCUAUAUAAACAUCCACCAUAUAAUGGAUGAACCAAAUGAUUUAAACAGUAAAACAAGCAACAAUGCUUACAACAGAUAAAAACAGUAACGUGCUGUUGCGCCCCCUUCCAUUAGGGCAAAAUGGAAAUCGCUACCCGAACUUCAAAAAGAUGAUAUAAACUACAUAAACUUUCCAAUUCUUCCACAUCAAACCACCUAGUCUUGUAUUCUGUUAAUUUUUCUCAACAAUCUUCAAUAACAUGAAAACCAAAAUAACUCAAGCACCCUUAAAAUGUAUCCAGCAUUUAAAAGAAGAGAGGCAUUUGUGUCAUUUAACUUCCAAAAUCCCAAGCAAGGUGGUUGAUUGAGACAAUUAUAAAGCUCACUUCAGUCUAAUUUAGGGUAUAAAUGUACCAAUCUUACUUGAACUAUUGCAUAUAUUGAAAUAGAUAUUUGAACUUCGAAAAAAAAUUUAGUUAAUUAUAUAACCUUACAGUGCUUUUGGCAUAGGUAGCUAAACUUUGAAGUCUAAUUUUACUACCUCAUCUUAACAGUAUUUGUAACUUUUUUAAAAAAAAAAUUAAAACAUAGGAUGCUUCCCUGCGCAUAUUCACUGAAAAUAAAAGCUUACAAUGAGAAACAUCACGGAGAAUCUACAUGCCCACCAGCCAUCAAGAGAAACAUAAACCUCCCAUCCCAAACAAAUAACAAGAUAUAAGUUGACAUGCUCCAAAAGUGAUACGCUCAUACAUUCUCAACAGACCAUAAGGUAAACUAAUAAGAGAAAGAAGAUAGUCUAAGAGACAAACAGACCAUAAAGAGUACUAACCAUCUAAGAAUCUACUAAAGCCUCGAUCGCAAAGAAGCAGCUAGAUGUCAUAGUCUACAAAGCGGUCAAGACCUGCUGCCGUCGCCAUUGCCUUGGCAAGGAUGUCGAAGAGACAAGCAGACCAUGAGUUGCAUACUUUGCAAUCUAACAAAAUAUUUUGAUCCCUAACAUAAUAUCUAGUAUUCUAUAUAUAAAAGCACGCAAUCGGCAGAUGGAAUCUUGAUUGGAAUAUCCUCCUAAACCUUAUUCCUCAGCGGUCCAUGGUUUUCAGUUUACCACGGACCCCUAUUACUCCUUUCUGAUGGCCACUAUGGUUUCCCAUUUAUAUGUAGAAUCCUCCUUUAAUUUGGAUUGUUAUUUAAUACUACAAAAUUUUAGUGUGAGAAAGAAAGAAAAAAUGAUAGACCAACAUGGUUUCCUCAUUUAUUUCGAAUCCUCCUUUUCUAUAUCAUUUUUGAAGAUUCUUCAUAAAUUGCAAAUUUCUUAAUUGUUAUCUUAUCUUCCAAGUUGAAUUUGUUUUUAUUUUUCAAUUCGAUAUGCCCAACGAAAUAACUACGACGUGCAUUACACAUAGGGUACGACUAGUUCUAUUAAAACUUAAAAGCACUAUAAGGUCUAUAUAUUUUCACCGAAUUUUCGACUUUCAGCAUUCGAGCGGCACCGAGAAAUCACCAAAAAUUCAACAAACUUUCGUCGGGGCAGGGAGGGUGAGGGAUCGACCUGGUCGGAAGGGUCGUUCUUCUUGGCCUUGUUGAUGACGAGGUCCUCCCGCCUCACAGCCUCGCCGAACUUGUCCAAGAACUGCCUCUUGUUCAUCUCGAUCUCCACAUCCAAGACCAGGUAACCCCUGUCCCUCAGUAUCUGCAUCACCGUCCGUCGGAUCCGGAACAAACGGCUGAUCUCAUCGUCCGAUGCCAUCUCCUCCUCCUCUUCCUCCUCCUCCUCCUCUUCUCCCUCUCCCUACUAAACCCUAGAGCCAAUCAUGAAGAAACAGAUAAAAGAUACAUCAACACUAAACAAAUUUAUGAGUAAAUUUCCAACGAAUUCGAUCCAAAAACAUAAAAUCCACACCAUUAUGAAUUUAAUCAAAAUUUAUUAAAAUUAAUUGUCGAUCAACAGCAUGAAAAACUUACAAAAUAAAUCAACGUUUAAUCAAUCACAAUCCACAAACAGUAAAAAAUAAUUAUUCGCUUUGAAAAAGCUAACACGCAAAAUGCUAUUAGAGCCCGGACACACUUCCAUAAAAUUUUUAAAAAAUAAAAUAAAAUAACAACAUAUAUAGAAAUGUUAGAAAACAAAAAAACACACGUAAAACAGUAAAAGUAAAAAAACAAAAUAUCUUUUUGGCUCUAAAUAACUAAUAAUGAAAAUCACCUAUUUCACUUUAAGAAAAAAAAAAAGGGUAAAACAUUAGAGAUAAUAAGUUAAAACUGUUAAAAUUUGAUACUGUUUAAAAAAAAAAAAAGUUUUAAGGGAACAAACUAAAAAGAAAAUGCUAUAUCACACGGAGAGAAUUAAAAAUUAAAAAGUUAAAAAAAAAAAAACUGUUUAAGAACACUGUUUUAAGAACAAAUUAAAUUUAAGAAUACUGUUUAAAGAGAUCCAAAAAACCCUUUGUAAUUUCAAAUAAUUUUAAGAACAGAUUCACAUGUUUUGUGGGCGCGUGUGUGCGUGAGAGAGAGAGAGAGAGAGAGAGAGAGAGAGAGAGAGAGAAGAAGACCUCGGCGGAGGCUGCCAGCAGCGGCGGAGGAAGGCGGGCGCAGGAGAGAAGGAAGCCGGCGGAGCUGCGGAGGUGGCGGAAGACUGGCGGUGACGAAGGUUGGGAGGGAGCGGAGGAGCGGAGGCGAGCGAGAAAGAGGGCGAGGCGACCGACGGGGGUUUAGGGCUUUCAGUUAGGACUAGUCAAUGGACGUGCGCUCCACGUAUUAAUUUGCAUAUUAAAUUAAAAAUAUAUUAAAUUAUUUUAAUAUUAAAUUAAAAAUUUAUGUAUAUAUAUAUAUUAAAUAAUAUUAAAUUUAUAUAAUAAUUAAAUAAAUAAUAUUUUUUUCACAACUAAAUAAAUAGUAUAGUAUUUUUAGAUUAGAAGCCUUGACUAAUUAAUAAUUAAUAAUUAUAUAAAGUUAUUAAAUUUGAUAUAUUUUUAAUAUAAAAAGAUAUAAAAUUUAAAUUUAAAAAAUAGUAAAAAAUUGAGGAUCUCAACAAAAAUAUAAAAAACAUUAGAGAGACCUAUUUAAAAAUGGCCUAUAGGCUGUUUCUAUAGCUUCGAUUAAUCUAAUGUCAAGUUAACUAUGUGUUACAAAUAUUUUCUAAAUAAAAUAACAUAAUAUUAAAAUUAAAAAUUAGAAAUCAUAGAAGAAAGUUAAAUUAAAUUUUAUAAAACUAAAUUAUAUAAAGAAAUAUCAUAUUAUUAUACUCUUAAUGGAUCUAAUAAUAUCCUAAUCUAACCUAGAAAACUAUAAGAAAACGUUUAUAGGGCAAUAAUGUAAUAUCCAAUUUCAGUUUUUUGCAAAUCAAUUGUCACGCUCCGGAUAUCACGUUUCCCGGGCGCACCGACAAAUCCGUCGUAUACAAAGAAAUUUUUCAUAUAUACGAAGUGAAGCUGUAAUUGUACCAGUAAUAAUACAACACUACAACCAGUAGUAUAGAGCUGCUAAGGAAAAUAAAACAUGAGUAUAUAAUAAAAAUGGAUCAGUACAUACACAGUAUUCUGGUACAAAAACACUCGCUCCAGCGAGGUAUAACAUCAGUAUGUAAUGAACAAAAAACUACAACUACCUGUAGCUGGUACUCUACUAGCUCUGGCUCAUCUGGUAAGGCUCUAACUCGCGACGCCCUUGCCACGAUCAGGAUCAGCAGCAGCCGACGGCGAUGGCUCUGCAAAACGAAAAGGAACAACAGGGCGUGAGAACUACUGUAUAAACAAGUAGUCCUCAGUGGGUGCCGCCCUCAACAACGUCAGUCCACCCACUAAGUCUACAGAAGGAAACAAGAAUAGUAGGAAAUGCUAGAAGAAAAUCUAUAGCUACAAGCCACUAUACUAUCAUGCUAUACUCUAACCAACUGUAGUAAAUGUCAAUUCUGACCCAAUCCAACUGGAACUGUAAGCCUACUCGUCCCUGAGACUGUGAACACACCUAUCCCGCCCGGUUGCGACUAUACAGCUACCAAUACACUAAUCGAUCCGUGGAGAGCAAGUCCAACCUGCACGAACGACACCAACGCGAAAGCACAAUGACCGUCUCCAAAGUGGCACUCGUGGGAGCUACCCAACCGAGUAUGCGGCAUAUCUCUGUCGAGCUCAAUCAGGCUAUCACAAGCCAAAGUCAAGUAACAGGGUCCAACUGGUCUAAUAAUCAACAGGUUACGUGCCCUUGGCACAAUCUAACGCCAAAACAGCGAUAGGGUCCACCGUCAACCCCGAAGGCUCCCAACAGUCCGGAACAGUCUGAACACUACUGUAAAAAUACACUCGGCAUCCCAGCGCGAGCGUAACUGAAAUCUAAACUACUUGGGGUAUCCACCACACUGAUACUGUAGCGAUACAAAAUAACAACGGCUCCUAGAGCUAAAUCAGGUAGUUUAAGCAUAUGACAGGUAAUAAUCGUUGUUUUCUCCUAAGUCAAAUUCCAGUCCAACAUGUGCUAGUAGAUACAUGCAACGAGGAAGCUCCAAUUUAGAUUUUACAUGGAAUAUGCCAAAAUUCAUGAACUGAGCAAAAUUUAUCAACACAAUAACACAUGUCGACCAACUAUAUACUUAGAAGACAAACCGACGAUUAACCUACCUCGAUAGCUAAUCCCAAUCCGGCGCGACGUCGAGAACGGCGGAAUCACACACUCGUUCGGCCUCCCAACGCAGCCACCACAACGCUCGUAUGCUCGAACGGUUCCGCGGCACGACGUUGGCAACAAAACAACUCCACCCGAGCUCCUCCACGAACGGAUCAAGUCUAGAGAGAGAGAGAGGAGAAGAACCAGCCAAAGAACUCCCCUCAGCUUCUCUCUAUGCAGCUAAGUAGUAAGGAGAGGAGUGGGUGAUACGUACGAGGCAUAAAAAGUCAAUUAUGCCCCUCACCUACCCCCGUGUACCGGUACACUGGCAUCUGUACUGGUACAAAUGGCAACCCGAGAGCAGCUACGUGGAAACAGGCAAAGUGUACCGGUACACCUCCGAUGCUGUACCGGUACAAAAUGUGUACCGGUACACCCCUGAUGCUGUAACGGUACAACAAACAGAAAAAUCUGUAAUUAGUGUUUCCAAAGCGAACUUCUGCUCUCGCGUCCCUGCUGAGUUCGUUUUGCGUCUAUUUCGCGUCAACGAGACUCGGACUUGUCCCGACACCCUCACGGCGUGUCGACAAGCCUCAAAAGCUGAACAUCAGGGAUACUACAUCAAUCAUUUAUUUCUACUUCUAUUUUUAAUUAUACAUAUAUAUAUUGUUAAAAAAAGAUGAUAAUUUAUUAUUUUUAAAUUUAAUUAAAAUAAUGAACAACUUAAAAAAAAUACCUACAACAAGCUAGUAAAGGUCAAUAUAUAUAUAUAUAUAUAUAUAGAGAGAGAGAUGAGAGGAGAAGUCUGGAGAAAGGAGUUAGUGAAUACUCUCAAAGCCCCAAGGAUGGUGCUUUUGAGUUUUUAGCCUUGAAUGGAGAGAUGUAGGGUUGAGAUGAUGGUGUGUAAGAUGGUGGUUAGUUGGUGGUAGGUGAAUAGUGUUUGAUCCAAGAGGUAUUAGUAUUAAGGAGUAGAUCUAAGGGCUAAAAUUUAGAAGCACCAAGGGAUGGUUGCUUCUAAAGUAUUCUAGCUUCAAUUCUAUAUAUAUAUAAAAGACAAGUAAUUUUUUCUGUAAAACAAAAUUUUUAUAUAGUGAAUUCAUUCACAAAUCAUAAAAAUAAUAUAUUGAACUCCCUCUCUAAAAGAUCAAAUAAUUAUUCAAAGUAUUACAUUAUUGUAUAUCUUUUUUUAAUUAAAUUUUAUAACAACCAACCGCCUAAACAACCUAAUACCGUCACAGACAAAGAGCAGUGUGAUCUUAAAACAGAUACUUGGUAUACAUUAUUAUUAUCUUUAUAAAGAAUUAUUAGAAUAUAGAUGUCAAUAUGCAAAAAAAAGAUUAAAAAAAUAAAAUGAUUUAUUAAAUUCACACAAUAAAAUUAAAAAGCAAAAGAUCAACGCGAACAUCAUAUUGCGCCAUAAGAAUAGAAAUUUUCAAAUAUGUUAUAAGCCUUCAUAAAAGACCAUAUAAUUUAAUAUAAUAUACAAUAAUUUAUAAUUCAUGAUAAUAAAUUAUAAAUAAUAAAAAAAAAGAGAAAGAAAACUUAUGAUUCAACUUACAGUAUUCCUGCCUAUAAUUCUUUCUCCUUCAAUUUUAAAAUCCAGUUGAUGAUUGCCAUCCAUAAAAAAUCAAUAACUAUCUUUUUUUUUUUUGAGAAACAAAUUAUUAAAAAAUAAGAAAAAAAAAUUUGUAAAAAUUAAUUACACAUUACGUUGUUUUGUGGUAGAAAGCAAUAGAUUAAAAAAAAUAUCUAAAGCAUAUCUUUUGAACAUGGAAAGACAACAACAAUAUAAUAUUCAUGUCUUUAUUGCUUAAAAAAUAAAAAUAUUAAUUGUAAGAAACCCUAAAAACUCUCAAUUUAUAUAAGAAGAUAGACUCUUGAUAAGCUUUUCCACUUCUCCUCUUCCAUUAUUCAUAAAAGAAUGAUUACUUAGUUUUUUUCUUUCUCAUUUAUUAUUUGGAAGAUGAAAAGAUUAGUUGUAAGUUCGCCUCUUCCGUUACUCAUACAAGGUUUUUCCACUUCUCCUCUUCCGUUAUUCAUAAAAGAAUGAUUACUUAGUUUUUUUUCUUUCUAAUUUAUUAUUUGGAAGAUGAAAAGAUUAGUUGUAAGUUCAUCUCUUCCGUUACUCAUAUAAGGCUUUUCCACUUCUCCUCUUCUGUUAUUCAUAAAAGAAUGAUUACUUAGUUUUUUUCUUUCUCAUUUACUAUUUGGAAGAUGAAAAGAUUAGUUGUAAAAAAUUCUAAAAACUUUUCAUUUAUAGAUAGACUCUUUCACUUCGCCUCUUUCGUUACUCAUACAAUUUAUAAUUUAUUAAAUUUCAAAUAAAUUUAAUUGAACUUUGAAUUUACAACAAAUAUUAUUAAAUAACUACUAUUAAUAGUGAUGUGAAGGGUAUUUUGAUAAUUAUGCAUGUAUCGACAAAAAAGGGGCGAGAUGAAACCAACAAACAUAUUUGCUUAUAAUAAUAAGAAUAGAUUUGAGUUCUUUUCUUUUUUAAAGAGUUAAAUAGCAUUGAAUCUUUCUACACUUUUAAAAACAGACUAAAUUAUUAAAAAAAAAAGGUCUUUUUGCAUAAAAAAUCCACUAAUUCUGGGCUUUUGCAAAAUUGGGUCGCUAUUUUCGAUUUUGCAGAUUCGGUCCGAAUUUUCAGCAAACUGACCAAAAUACUCUUAUUACUUUUUCUCUUUCCUCUUUUUUUUUUUUUCUCUCGUUCUUUUUCUUCUCUCUUCGAAGAAGGCAGCGGAGGCGGAGGCGGAAACAGCCCGCCUUGCCUCUGCUCUCCACGCCCCUGCCUCGCCUCUUCCCCGCACGGCCUCGCCCUUGCCCUUGCCCUCGUCCUCACCCGUGCACCCCCCGCCCUCCCGCCUUUGACCCUGCUGAGGCCGCGCUACGACCCUCCUUCCCCACUAGGGCACGGCGACGUCGAGGCGUAUUCUCUUCUCCUCCACCGCGCAUUGAAAUGCCGUGACAUUACGACGUCGUGGUGGUUGCGAUAGAGAGCAAGGGAGAUGUGGUGACCAAAAAAAAAUUAUAGAGAAAAAAAAGAAUAAUAAAAAAAAAAAAAUAUUUUUUUUCGUAGAGAAAAGACCAAAAAAUAAAGAAGAAAAAAGAAAAUAAUGAAAUUGUACUUUUAAAAUAAGGUUACACUAUUUAAAAAAAGUUUUGCACUGUUUUAAUGAAAGUUGGACUAUUUGAUAUAGAAAUUACACUCUUUUGGAAUUAAUUUUACACUUUUUAAACCAAAAUUACACUCUUUAGGAGAAUUUUGCACUAAUUUUUUUUCUUUUCUUUUUCUCUUUUUCCUCUUCCUCCUCCUCCUCCUCCUCCUCCUUUCCUCUUUGAUGCACCAUUUCUUCAAAGAGAGAAAAAAAAGAACAAGAGAAAAAAAAAAGGAGAGAGAAAAAGUAAUAAGGGUAUUUUGGUCAGUUCGCUGAAAAUUCGAACCGAAUCUGCAAAAUAGAAAUUAGCGACCCAAUUUUACAAAAGCCCAAAAUUAGUGAAUUUUUUAUGCAAAAAGGCCAAAAAAAAUUAUAAAUAAUUUUUUAUUUUUAAAAAUUUAUAUUUGAAUUUAGCUCCCGUCGUCAUGUUUCAUCACUGUUCCGUUCGUUAUAAUUUAUUUAAAUUUUUAGUUCUCUCUGAAUUACAGAAAACUCUCAUGUAAAUACUCAGUUUUUUUUUUACUUUCUUUUCCUGACUUUGAGAAACCUACAUUUCACUUCUUAAAAUUUUAGAAAUAUUUUCAAGAGGGUGCAGUGUUAAUAGAGAGAACAAAAUGACCAAAUUACCCUUAUUUUUUUAUAAGAAAAAAUAGGUUUUCAAUGUAUUUCUAUUAUUUUGAAAAGCAUUUUCGGUAUAUAUUAUAAAAAAUAGACGGAAUAAUGAUGAAAUCUUGACAGAUGGGGCUAAAUGUAACAACUUGAAUUGUUGAGGUGGUAAAAUAUAGGUAUUUGAAAGUUACGGAGGAAAAAUAAAAAAGCGGAUAUUUAUAGAGGGUUUAUGUAAUUCCACCUAUUUUUUUUUAAGAGUUAAAUAUUAGUGUACCUUUCAACACUUUAAAAAUAGAUUAAAUUACAAAAAAUCUUCUUAUAAAUACCUGCUUUCUCAUUUUCUCUCCCUAACUUUCAAAAGCCUAUAUUUUAUUCCCUCAACAUUUCAAAUUGUUAUAUUUAGCGGCAGUCCAUUAGGGUUCCAUCACUAUUUCGUCUAUUUUUUAUAAUUUAUACCGAAAAUAUCAUUUAAAAUGACAGAAAUACAUUAAGGGUAAUUUGGUCAUUUUUUCCUCUUAAUUAACGCCGUAUCCCAGGAAAUAUUUAUGGAAUUUUAAGGGGGCAAAAUAUAGGUUUUUGAAAAUUUAAAAGAAAAAAGUAAAAAACGGGUAUUUAUAAGGAGAUUUUCUAUAUUUUAGCCUUAAAAAUAAGGCCUUUUUGCAUAAAAAAUCCACUAAUUUUGGGUUUUCGCAAAAUUGGGUAGCUAUUUUCAAUUUUGCAAAUUCGGUUCGAAUUUUCAGCAAACUGACCAAAAUACUCUUAUUACUUAUUCUCUCUCCUUUUUUUUUUCUCUCAUUUUUUCUCUCUCUCUCUGAAGAAGUCAGCACAGGCGAAGGCAGAAACAGCCCACCUCGCCUCUGCCUCGCACGCCCUCGCCCUCACCCUCACCCUCGCCCCUGCAUCCUCUGCCCUCCUCACCUCCGACCCUGCUGAGGCUGCGCCGCAACCCUCUUUCUCUACUAGGGCACAACGACGUCGAGGGGCAGUCUCUUUUUCUCCGCCGCACGUCGGAACGCCGCGACGUCGUCAGAGGCGGCGAACUCGCCUCCGACGACAUUGUGGUGAUUGCAAUAGAGAGUAAGGGAGAGGUGGUGACAAAAAAAAAAUAUUAUAGAGAGAAAAAAUAAAAAUAAUAAAAAAUAAAAAUAAAAAAUAUAUUUUUUCUACAGAAAAGAUGAAAAAAUAGAGAAGAAGAAAGAAAAUAAUGAAAUUGCACUGUUAAAAUAAAAUUACACUGUUUUAAAAAAAAUUUGCACUGUUUUAAUAAAAUUUACAUUAUUUGAUAUAAAAAUUACACUCUUUUGAAAUAGAUUUUAUACUUUUUAGGCUAAAGUUGCACUUUUUAGGAGCAUUUUGCACUAUUUUUUUUUUUCUUCUUUUUCCUUCUCCUCUUCCUCCUUCCCUCUUUGAUGCACCAUUCUUUUGGUGCAGACGAGCUGGUCCUUCACCUGGGGCGUCACCGUCGCCGCCGUCCCCGAGUCCUCCUCUUCCUCUCUCCGCCGCCAUGCCGCCGCCAUCUGAAUCUGCUACUGCUGCUGCUGCAAAAUCUUGGCCGCCCACGCGUCCCGCUGCAGCGGGGGAAACGCGGAUUCGGGACCCGCCGCCGCGGCGUCGGGGUUCAGCUCGGAAAGCAUGGAGUCGACCCAGGCGGUGAGGCCGGAGGGGUUGUAGUAAACCGCCUCGGGGGGAGGCGGCGGCGACGACGGCGGAGUCGAGGCGCUCGAGGCUUUGCGCCACAUGGCGGAGAUCCGACGAUCGCACGCGGUACCCCGCGCCGGCGAGAAGGCCGUCGAUCUCGGCCCGGAGCUCUGCAGGGAGGCCGGGUCGUGGGCCCCCCACCCGUCCCCUCCGCCCGCUGACCCGAAGCCGUACGGACACGACCCCAUGGCCCUAGCACGCAUCGCCGCUACCACAAUGUGAGAGCGGAGGCAACGCUGGCUAUAUAUCUCCGGAGAUACACAGAGAAAAUUAAGAGGGAGCGUUGAAGCGAUCUCUCUCUCUAUCUCUCUCCUUUUCUCUUCUCUUCUCUCUUAUGUGGGUGACAGGAAGCAGGGGAGGGACCGCGGCAGAGGUGGACGUUGGUGCCGGCGACGGCGACGACGCCCCAGGGGAAGGACCAGCCUGUCUGCACCAAAAGAAAUGGUGCAUCAAAGAGGGAAGGAGGAGGAGGAGGAAGAAGAAAAAGAGAAAAAGUAAAGAAAAAAAAAAUAGUGCAAAAUUCUCCUAAAGAGUGCAAUUUUGGUUUAAAAAGUGUAAAAUUAAUUCUAAAAAAAUGUAAUUUCUAUAUCAAAUAGUACAAUUUUUAUUAAAAUAGUGCAAAAUUUUUUUAAAAUAGUAUAACCUUAUUAUAACAGUACAAUUUCAUCAUUUUUUUUUUCUUCUUUAUUUUUUGGUGUCAAAAAAAAAAAUUUUUAUUUUUAUUUUUUAUUAUUCUUUUUUUUUUAUAAUUUUUUUUUGUCACCACCUCUCUCUUGCUCUCUAUCGCAACCACCACGGCGUCGUAAUGUUGCGGCGUUCCUAUACGCUGUCGCGGCGUUGCGACGCGCGGUGGAGGAGAAGAGCCUGCGCCUUGACAUCGCCGUGCCCUAGUGGAGAAGAAGGGUCGCGGUACGGCUCAGCAGGGUCGAAGGCGAGGAGGGUGGGGGGUGCACGAGCGAGGACGAGGGCGAGGGCAAGGGCGAGGCCGUGCUGGGAAGAGGCGAGGCGGGGGGCGCGCAGGGCAGAGGCGAAGCCGGCUGUUUCCGCCUCCGCCUCCGCUACCUUCUUCGGGCAGAGAAAAAAAAAAACGAAAAAAAAAAAAGAGGAAAGAGAAAAAGUAAUAAGAGUAUUUUGAUCAGUUUGCUGAAAAUUCGGACCAAAUCUGCAAAAUCGAAAAUAGCGACCCAAUUUUGCAAAAGCCCAGAAUUAGUGGAUUUUUUAUGCAAAAAGGCCUAAAAAUAACUUAUAAAAUUAAUAUCUAAUAUUAGUUUUAAAAUUUUAAAAAUAUCUAGUAUAUUUUUAGUUGACUAAAAUAUUUUCAUUAAUUUUCAAAAAAAAUUCUAAGAGUAUUUUGGAUAUAGGAGACUAAAUUUAAUAAUUUUAAAUAGUAGUCAAAAAUAUAUAUAAGCAAAAGCUCCUAACAUAUAUAUCCUCUAAAAUUUAUAUCAAUUUAUGUAUUUAUAUAAACUUUUAAUAUCUUACAAAAAUAUUCUUCUAAAUAUAUUUUUAUUAACUUUUUAUUAAUUUUUUAGCUUCCAAUCCUACCAAUCGAAAAAAAUAAUAACAAAUUAGAAUAUCAUCUCCUACCAAAUUACAAUCUCUCUUUUUCAUUAGAUUCCAUUACCUUGCGCCUCGCGCUUAGGCGCGUUGCCUGUGCCGCGCUUUUCCAAACAUUGAUUCAAACCGUUAAAAUAAAUUUUCAAAAUGACAUAAUUGAGAGGGGAUCCAGACAUUUUAACCUUCCUUACUCAUUUUCUAACGGAACAUGUACAUCUCUCAAGUGAGAAUCUUCUCUCCACAGCUCCGCUAAUUCCGCGCUACGUCGGCAGCCAAGUGCUGAAGUUCUGUCAGAUUGUAAUAUGAGUACAGAUGGAAAGGACCCAAUUGAAAUAACUCGCGAUACUCGGAUACACGAUCGGCGAAAGAUUGAAAGAUCAGUGAUCCAAUCGAAACUCGACGCAACGCGCCACAGCACCACCACAAAAGGCAGCCUGUUUGGUCACUGCUUUUCCUCUCCAGGACAGCUAACCACCGCAAAAAUAGCAGCCUGUGUUGAAGUUUUCGCAGCCCGCGCAUUUUAGAACAGCCAGCCGGGCCAGACAAGAGCCUAUCUUUCAUAUCUAGCACUUCUGCCGCAGAAAAUAGUUCAACGGAGUUGCUGUAAACAUUACCUGCUUGUCAGAAAGUCUGAAACUGCAUCGCAACAAACACGUUCACAGCAUCCGUUCGAUCUGGCCAAAAGGCGUCUCAAACAGAAUGGUUGUUUAAGUAAACAUUUGAAGAUGCUUUACUGAAUAAAUUUACACUAAUGAUAACUUAUAAAAGGGUAAAAUCUGGAAGAAAACGGAGAACUUCAAAAAGAAAUUUACUAAAUAAAAUCUUCCAGUUUUACAUCAGGCAGCUGAGUGUCUACCAUCUGUCAAAGUGUCGGGUACACUGCCAUCUUAUAUUAUGCUCACACAUUCUUCGGAAUUAUGCGACAUUUCUUCGGAACAAUGGAGAAGAAAAACACAAAGAAAAAUAAAAUAAGCUAAUGAUGUUGUUCCAUGCAAAGCACCAAUGAUGUGCAUCAUCACAAUGCUUAUUGGCAAAAUAAAGCACAAACAGAUGUCCGAGGAGGAGAAAAAGUGUUCGUUUCCACGGUGUGAAAGCAAGCAAGAUAUUCGACCGUGGGCUUAUCCCGUGAGUGCAGAUGCUCCUGAUAUGAUCUCAAUCAGCUCCGUCGUGAUCGACGCUUGGCGGGUCCUUUAAAAACAGAAUUACACAGAGAAAAAAACAUCAGUUACACACAGUAUCCAUAAUCCUGUAAAACAAAAAUGUAACCGUGCAUUUACGAAUAUAUUCAUUCGUAAAAUAGAGUUGAGCUAAAAAGCUCAAAGAAACAUCUAUGAGCUCGUGCUUCCACUUUUUUCCAUGUCAGAUGCACAUCCUAAAUUCCCAAUUCAUGUGCGGGCCCGAUGAGCGUGCAUCUUAAUACACAUCAUGCGGGUGAGUGUUUUGAAGAUGGAACAUGCAAAUAUCAAGGUUCAUCUGAAAGUGCAAAAGAGUAAAACCACUCCAGUGCCGUAGUUUUCUAAAGGAUUUCCGCCCAAAACUACAUUACAUAUCAAAAAAUUAUACAAAGGUCCCUAGCAAUUCAGACAGUUUCAAAAAGUCCCUCAAGAACCUGCAUAUAAAUUGCCCAUGUGCAUUCCGGCAUGUGUUCUUGCGCGUGUUUGUGCAAGGACACACACGCAAGCAUUCUCACGAGAGAGAGAGAGAGAGAGAGAGAGAGAGAGAGAGAGACCUGUUAUAAGAAAGGGUAAGACGAUCAAGCAUUUCACCAGCAUUUCUGCUGGAGCUGUCCAUGGCAGACAUUCGUGCUCCAAGCUCACUACAUGCGUUCUCCAGGGCCGCAUUAUAGAGAACCUAAAAAAUCAAGAAGUGUUUUAGGACAAAUAAUGGCGACAGGACCACAAAAAAAAAAAAUCAAAUUAGUUGGGGGUCCAGUGUUUUUUCUAAAGUUUAUCUUCUACAGAAAUACCUCAUCUUAAGCUCUGAAAACAUCAAAUUCACUUUUGGGGGGGUGGGGGAUCGCAAGUUGGUUCUAUAUCGUCAAACAGAAAUUCAAUGAGGCACUUUUGGUAAAUACAAGGAUAUAUUUAUAAGAAAUUAAGUUUUUGAACAGCAUAUAUGAAGAUUCAAAUGUUGCAGGGAUCUAUGAUAGAUAAUAAGUAAUAUAAAGAAUGCCUCAGCAAAUGUACGAGACUUACACAAGAAAACUGAAACUCAGCAAGAUUCUGCAGCACUUCUGAUUUGGUCUCACCCCCUUCAAUUUCAUAGGAAUCCAAAUCGCCCAGCUUCCCACCAGCUUCUGAUUCUCUCUCCACAACCUGUACAGAACCAGAAAAUACAACAGCUCUCAAAGUAAUUAUCAAUUUAUUAUCCCUACCUGUGGGGGUUGUGGUGGUGGGGGAACUGUAGAGAAAUAUUAAAGUAGGAUGAAGGGGAAAAAAAAAAACUCAAAUCACCUCAGGUGACAAUACUGUGGAGACAGUGGGGAUAAAGGCGACAACAGAAUGGAACUUGUUGAAAACAAUCCUCAAUGCAUCAAACUCAACAUUCUUUAAGAUGUCAUCAGCCAGUACAGAAAUCUGAACAAAGAAAAAAAAAAAAAAAAAACUAAUCAAGAAACUCAAAGAAAACCUUAAUAAUAAACAGAUUUUAAAUUGGAAAUACAUCAAGUAAAUCCCUAUUACUAAAAGAAUAAAGCAAAACAAACUUUCCAUGCAACCAUGACUGAACAUAACAACAAGCAUGUUAUAGAGGUUCUACUAAAUCCUGUGACAAAGAAGAAAUAACCCAGUACUCUUUUUGAAAUAAAAGUUUAGCAAUAACAAAUGUGAGAUACCUGUGUGUAAUUGACAGGGUUCUUUUGGAGCUCCGUUACAGUCAUCUCAAUGGAGCCUUUAGAAUCACGAAUCAAUUGAACCUUGCCCUUUUCUCCCAAUAUGACAUACUUGGUCUCCUUUUCUGGACCUAAUGGCCACAAACGGUGCCAUAAAAUCUAAUUUGCAUCAUCACGGUAAUGAAGGUAUAACCAACAGUUGAUCAGAUUGAGUGGAUUUACCGGAGGUGACCUUGAAAAGAGACUUGCUGACUUUAACCGAUGUUGAAUUGAUGCCACCACAAAGACCCUUGUCGGAGGUGAUAGUCACAAUAACAUUCUUCUUCACAUCAACACCUGGAAGUGACAUGCGUUGACACAGAGAGAAGUUUGUUACACAUAACACAUAGCAAAAGUACCAACCGAAUCAUCGAGGUGGCGGGCGUAAACGAGUUAUCUUGCAAUCUCUUUCACACAUUAACAAUCUAGAUGAAAAGAAGGAGAAACAGAAUUACAUGUCAAGAGAAUCAAAUAUAAUAUAUAUAAAAUUGGAGAAUUUUGAGGCCAUACGUGAAGCCACGUCAUCCCUCUAUUUAAAAAAAUGUAAAUUUGGAUGAGAAAAUAAAAAGAAUUUAUAUAGAGACGUGACUUUUAGCUUAGUUUUUUUGUUAAUACCCCUUCGUGAUUUGUAAAGAGAUGUACCUUUUCACUUAGUUUUUGUUAGUACCCCUCCGCGAAAGGCUAUUCCCUUCGCAGAGGGAUAAGUUUACUGAUUUAAAUGUUUGGUAGUUAUUAACAUAUUGUUAUGAUAUUAUUUUAAAAUAGCAAUAAAUAUACGAACUCUUAUUUAAACAAAUAGUACAUUGAAUUUACAAGAAUGCUUCUUAUCUAUCUCUCCUUUCUACAUUAUAGACUAUACAUAUUAUAAACUGCAACAUAGUUAUUAAUCUCUUGAUUAUGUCUAUCAAAAUAAAAAUCUAAAUCGUAGAAUUAAUUUGUAUUUAUAUAACUGAAAUUAAUUAUUGUUCCGUGCAUUGUACGUGAUUAAAGCUAGUUUAACACAUAAAAGCAAGGCAUGUCUAGAAUGAGUGAUCUUCAUCUAUCUGAAUAAACACUUAUAUCGAGAAGAUGAGGCGGGAUUCCACUCGUAUCAUCUGUUCCAAGAGGCAAUCAAGCAGUAAUAGAUGAGAGAAUUUCCCUACUACUUCCAACCGAGUCUAGUUAAAGAAAUCUAAUAACAUAAAUCUAGCAAUGCUGACUACCAUGGGCAAUGUAUGGUCAUAUUAGUAGAAAUUUACAGGUUUGCACCAAGAAGGCAAGAAUAACUUUAAAGGUUGGUGAUUUUAGUGCCUAAGCUAACAUCAUCAUCAUCAUCAAGAAGUUAAUGUACGUGUCAGGAGGUUUUCUCCAGUAGAGGGAUGUAAAAUAUUUGAUUAACGGGAUUUAAUUGAUUUGGGAUUAGUCGUUGGGAUUUCUCAUAAUUUAAUUGAAUCGAUAAUUUGAGGUCGGAUUUGAUUAGAGUACAUUCUUGAGAUUAGUCAUAAUUUGUCAAUAACCCGAAUACACGCUUUCUUACUAUUUUUAACUAACAACAGAGUAGGAUAAAGUAAACACAUCAAAAUGAUCUCCUAUAUCUUCAGAAAAAGCUACUUGCUCACCACCACCACCACCACCCUGGACGCCCGCGGCAAACAAAAAAAAAAAAAAGACUAAUUAUUUAACGAAUCCACUGAUUCUUCUAAAGUGAAAUUAAUCGCAUUCUUGGUUUUAAGUGCAAAGAUUUCUGCUGAUUUAUGGAGCCAAACCCUUAUAACUAAAAUGGAUAAAUAAAGAAUUCUAUAGAUUCGCAUUGCAGCAGAAAAUAUUUCCUCAAAUCAUAAAUUUUCAGGCAGAAAUACUACUAGAAUUUCACUACAAAUAUUUCUCACUUACUCUUUCAAAGAAACAGUUUUCAGCCAUAAAAUCUUUAAUACACAAAUUUCUCAGCCAUACAUAGAUUCAAUCUUUUAUACCAAAUAACUGCCAAAGUAGGAAUCUAAUUGAUCAUUUUGACUAUAUUCAAAAGCCAAAUUUAACUCAACUUAACAUCAAAAGAGCCCUCUGCUAAUCCAACUAUAUCUGAAAAUGGAUCCUGUCUAACUAAUGUAUCUACUUAGCGUAAACUUCAUAUAACAAAUCCAGACCUUUGGGCUUUGCUGAAAGUGACUCAGAAGAAUUGGAUAAACAUGCUUCUUACUGCAGGAUGCACGCAUUAGAAAACCCAUAUGAUAAAUCCAUAAGCCCCCAAGUAUUAAAUAUAUGCAACACUUAUAAGAACAACAUUUAAUACAUUUACCUCUCUUGCAGUCUAACAAACAGAAAAUUAAAUUUGGCAAUGAAUUUUGCCAAUUACAACUUCAUGUAUAUUUAGUUAGUUAAUAAUCUUCUAGUUCCUUUUCCAUCUUUAAACAAAUCUAGUUGACAAGCUAACAGACAUCCUUAAUUUUCGUUAUUCUAUUGUUUGGGUCAUCCUGUAAGUACACGCUUACCUACUCAGCUUCUCCAUAUCUCACACUCUAUCAAUUGCAUACCUGUUGUAUACUUAAUACAGUCAUUAUUGUGAAUGACACUGAAUCUGUCUCUCUGUUGCCAAUUUCUGUGGAAAAUAUUUAAGAACUAGCUAUUCAAAUGAUCUCCCUAAUAGUCCUGACUAGUCAAUGUAGUAGUACCCUGAUAUAUGUAAUGUUUGCAUCACUCGUCAUAUAGAGUGGCAUAUUAGUCUGAAAUGGAGAACACAGAUCACUGCUUCUAGAAGUAUCAUAGGACUAGGGAAAAACAAGUAAUGGCUAAAUACAUACUAGGAGUAUCGCCAAGAAGUGCGGUAAAGGGCUGCCAGAGGCCACGUGAAUUCUCAGUUCUUACUUGAACGGCUCGCAGCUUUGAUGCUGCAACCAUUUUCAUUGCCUUUGUGAUCUUCUGAAUGUUCUUAACACUCUUCAUUCGAUUUCUCACUGCAUUAUAUAUGUAAGAAAAACAGGCCCAAUCACAUUAACGUAAUCAAAUGAAAUUCUUUGCAUAUAUAACUCAGCAAAUAUGCAACUGCACAAAUACCCUUGCAAAGAAGUAUUUGCAGGCGAGCCUGAAAAUUGUUUUCAUUUGCUUUCAUGUUCCUACAAGGGUAACUACACAAAAACUGGUUUUGCACAUAUGCCCAUGCAACGGGUAUCCAAAUAAGCAAAAUUUUCAAGGGAUACAAAUUCCACACUUUUACAGGGGUAUUUCCACAAAUUCAGAAAUUUGCUGGAGUUAUAUGCAAAAAGCCCAAUCAAAAGUGGCUUUAAUACAGAAAGAACACAGUAGGUAAGGGAUGAAGGUCUAUUACCAACUUGAGUUGAAAUUGAUCGCAACCCAAUGGGAGCUGAUUGUCUGCUAAUUCAAGAUUCGGUUAGUACUCUAUGAAAUAGCAUAGAUACAAAAGUAGAAAAGGGAUUUCAUAUGCUAUAUAAAACAAAACAAAUAUGUCGGUUGAGUUUGGAGAUGCUUAUUUCCUAUAGGAGAGAAUGGAACAAAUAAGCAAAAAUGAAGUGAAGAAUGACACAAUUAAAAGAACACCAAGCACCACAACCAUUAGAAGCAUCGAUCAUGAAAAAAAUGAGGGGGGAAGAUAUGCAAAAUAGAUAUUCCAGAUCCUUCUUUGUUCCUAUAUAUCCACCGCAAACAACCAAAACGCGGUGAUGGCUACAUAUUCAUGCUAAAUGCACUGAUUAGAUAACCUAUAAUCCACUUUUCUGUAUAACGCUCUUUGACAUACUUAAAAGCCAACAACUACCCAACCUUAUCUUCUAUAUAAAAAAACAUAGAAGCAUUACACAAAUCACAAUUCUCCUUAGAUAUACGAGUGCUCAAUAGUAAAAAUCUCAACAAAGAAGAAAGAUAAAUCACAAACUACUCCAAAUGAUAUGGCACUAACUAAGAAUGGCACAACAUUUCCAUAUAUAAAAAUGAGACCAAAUAUUGUAACUUGCUUCAUUAAUUUACUACAAUCGUUAGUAAUGUAUAGCAAAUAACUUGUAAUGCAUGUAUCCAAAGUAAUACUAACAAACAUAUUUUAACCCAAACACCACCCGAUCUUAUUUUCUCCAAACAAUUAAAACAUAUACACCAUUCCAUACAUCUUGAGGUUUUUUUUUUUUUCCUUUUUUCACACAAAGAACAAACUCCACUCCAUAGUUUAACUUCUACAGUAGAUGAUCCACAACAUUUUCAUCUUACCCCAAAAAAUACCAUAAAUUUCUAAAAAUUAGUCUCUAAAAUACUCAAAUUCAUCACACGAUUCUCAUUUCAAGUGGCAUUCAAAUGAAUCUACUUCGAAGGAAUAAAAACAAACAAGGGAGAUAUAAAAGUAAUGCAUUUUAGAUCUACGAAAAGGGAUUAAACAGAACCAACGUAGAGUUCCAUUUCAACGACCGAUCUACAAAUCUACCACGGACCGAUAUCAAAAUCUAAUUCUCAGAAACUCUAGAACUGGUAUUUGGGCCAAAUCAUAAGAGGUGAACCCUAAUACUAUCGAUCGAAGGAUGGGGGACCUUACUCGGGUGAGAUCGACAUCGCGGAUCGCGCGGCAGAGGAAGGGUUGGGGGUGAUCGGCGAGAGGAGGAGGCGCCUCCCCUCCCUACGCAAAGCGGCCAUCGCCAUGGCUACUUUCUCUCUUCUUUUUCUUCGCCUCCGCAGAGCUCCCUAGAUGGUGGAGUGAGCCGUCGUUUCAACCCGGAGAGCAAAACUGAAAGGGAAGGUAAAUAUGCAUGAAACCCCUCACCUAUAGCUUAUUUGGAAAAGACGCAUCAACUUUUAUUGUUGGGAAAUAUGUACAACGACCCCUAAAUUUAGCAAGUUUGCGAACCAGCUACAGAGCUUUUUAUUUUUGUAAUUAGAUAUUUAAAAUUGGGUUAUUUCGUAUAGAUUAUUGCAAACAUAGUAAAUAAUAAAUAUAUCCUUAUAAAGCUUAAUUUUUAUAUGUUGUUUCUGCAAAAGUUUUAAUAUUUUCAAAUAUGUUCCUCUACUUUGAUAUCGUUAGAGAACACCAUUAAAAUACUGUUUAUAUUUUUAAUUUUGCCAUCACAAAUUUAUCUCUCAAAAAACAAUAAUAGUAUAAUACAAGAGAGAUUAAAAUAUCAAAAACUAACGAAAAUUAAGUAUUUAAUAUUUUUGUAAUUAGACAUUUUAAAAUUUUAUCAACUAGGUUAAUAGGACCUUCUCCUCCAUCAAAAUCACUAAUUAUAUAAUUGUUUGAGUUUACCGUAAACUGCACUACUUUAAAAUACAAAAAAAUCACCCCUUUCAUCCUCUCUCUUUCUUAGCAGAAAGACGUUCUCUACAAAGAAACUAACACCCUAGAUGAGGAUAUUGAUUAGAUUAGCAACCUUGUAUAGAUACCUUAGAUGCGAAACGCAUAUACGGCUUCAAGAAAAUCAAAUUUCAUGAUUAUCACAUUGCAGUAUAAAUCUCUACCCGCGGAAAGGUAAAGAUCAUAUCUUUAUUCCCUUUCUUUUAAUUUUAAAUACAUGAGGAAUCUUGUUUUGUGUGUUUUCGAGAUUGGCUUUCCAGUUUUUUUUUUAAAUCUAUUUUUGUUUGAUUUUUUUUUCGCUGCGUUUUUAUCGUAUGCAAUAUCUAACAAAAAGUGGUAAUUAGCUCUAAAAGUUUUGCCUAUAUAAUUGGUUCUCAAAAUUAUUAAUUUUAUUAUUAAAACACUUAACCAUCUUGCUUCUUUGAUAAAUAACAGUAGUGGUCAGAGGAGAAGUUAAAAUUUAAUAAAAUACUAAAAAAUUUAAAUAAUAUAAGAAAGUAUAACUAAAAAUAAUAAGAAUUCUUUAUCAUUUUCACGGAGAACUGUUUGGGGAUAAAGUUGGGAAAAUAAAAUACUUGCGCCCUCAUGUUUUUAAAUUUCACUUAACUUUGUUUUCAUUUACUCCAUUAGGCACUCCGCACUAUUCUGCGCUUCUGAUCGGAGUGCUUUGCUAACCGAUCGGACGGACAAAAACGCAGUAAUAAAAAUCCACUUUACUAUCAAUAAAAAACCAGCACAACUAUAUAUAUAUAAAGGCAGAGGAUAAGGAAGUGAGUCAUACUUGAGCGCGGUGCCUUCCGUCUUUCAGUGUCGUUUUCGAAUGUUCACUUGUCGAAUCGUCGAAUCGCGUAAACUUGAAUCAAGAGAUAUUACGUAUCUAGAAAUGAAUUUAUAUUUUCGAAUAUCAUUUGCAUUAUCGAAUGGGUUAAAAUCACAAAUUUCCAAUAUGCCUUAUGAGUCCGUUUUGCUUAAGUUUAAACCCGUGGAAAAAAUAUCAAAUAACGAAAAUUUGAAGAAAAUUUUUAUACUAUAAAAAGCAGAUCAAAUAUCUUAAGUUACCCUAUCUUUAGUUGUGCGGGAAAAAAAAAUAAAAAAAUUUUGGGUGAUUUGAUUAAUUUCUCACCACACUCCUCCUAUACUAUCAACAUCACCCGUUAAAAGUAAUUACCUUUCUCUGAAUUAUAUUCUGCUUAAUUACUCUGCAAGUGAGAGCUCCCCCGACUCAGGGAGGCCCAUGGACUCAGUAUCGACUGCCGACUCGCGUCCAACGUCUUCGAGCAGGUCUUCGCAUCCGGUACGCUGGCAGAAGCAAUCGAGGGUGGUUUUCGUUACGUUACUCUGGGAUUUUGUAGACGCCGUUUCAUGCCAAAGUUAGCCUUUGAGUAUAUUCGGUUGCAUAUGCUCAAGAUAUUGCAUUCUCGAACGCUUGGGUGCUGAUUUGAAGAAUCAGCUCGACGUUACGCGUUGCCCCUCUCAACGUAGAGCAGCGAUUUCGACGACUGUUCUGUAUCGGAAAUUUUCGAGAGGAAUCCACGAAGCCCUUACCUUGCUGAUUUCGGGUUAGUUUUCAUUAGUCAAUUAUUUUCUUCCGCUGCUGUUUUUGGGGAGGCAGAAUCGGUGUCAUUUCAUUUUUACAUGUAGGUUUGCUGAAAGCGUCAAUUUCUGGCCUUGGAGUUCGGACUGAAUUCCACAGUGUCUCUUUGCAUUCGCGGACGUCCUGCGCUGGAUUUAGACGACUAAAGGUGUUAACAUCUGCUUAUACUCCUAAGUGGCAAUAGUCAAACAUGUGUAAUUUUCAUCGAUUUUUAAUAGUUUAACCUUUUAGAUCGAAUUCAAUCUGAUUUGUAUAGAUCACCAAAUCUGAAUUUGGAGCAUGUGUAUUAAAUUGAGUAUAUUUAUACACAUGUUUGGACUUUGGAAUAAAUAGGAAAAAACCUCGAUUGGAACUUUAAUGUAAAACUGCCUGAUUCCUGCUCUAACCGUUAUAUGAAAUUGUAUCUGUCUUUGUAAUUUCGUAGGAGCAGUUUCAUAGUUUAGAAACAUUUACCCGUCUGGUUAGAGGCGCCGAGUGGAUCUUUUAACAGGUCCGUUGUGCUGUUUCCAGACGUUGGGCUUCGUCGGCAUGUUGAACGGGAACACCUGUUCGGUCUUUUAACAUGACUUGCCGAAUGCAUCGUUACCUAUGGUUUAGACCAUUUGAGCUCGGUUCAUCUGGGACUUUGCUCAAGAGCCUGGAUCUCGACAGGAUACGCGCAUAUUACUUGUUGUACGCCCACAUGCCACCCGGAGACUGCUUUGGUGCUUUUGCGUUGUGUCCGAGGUCCAGCCCUGGGUUGGACUUGCCUCCUCACACGGACCUUAGUGGGAUGAGCUGUAAUCGACUGGUCAGCGACGGUGUAUACAAGAUCCCCAUCUGACAGUAAUUUACAGCCAUGAAUGGAUUGGUCACUUUACAUUUUUCUACACUUGGUUAGUUGUAGAGCAUGAAUUAAGGUCAUUGAUACGGUAGGAGUUUAUCUCGUGCUGCUUUCUAACUAUUCUUGCUACCCUCUGUAGACUUAGUUGUGGACCGAUAUCUUUGGCGUACCCACUGAGGGACUACUUUGUUUUACCAAUAAUUCCCUACGGUGCAUUGUUACCGCCUGUUGCAAGCCAACAGGUCGAUCUUUGGACAUCUAAAUGACACCGAAAAAUAAUUUAAACUGCUUCUGCUAUAAACGUCCGUGUGAUCUGAGCGCGACUUCUUUUGAGUGAUUUGUUUUAUCUAUCGCUUGAUCGCCUUAUGACGAGAAUGUCGUGUAAGCGAGAUUAAGUGAGGCUCUCGAGUACUCGUACCGAGGAGCACUAUCAUCAGAGCGUAUAGGCACUUCUUCUGAAACUGCGAGGUAAUUUUGUUUCGAGUUACGUAGACAAUAAUUUUGCCUAGUUACCUAAACUCAGCAACAGUCUCAAGCGAGUAACACUGGUAUUAGUUUGCUGAUUUACUAAUUAUAUAAACUCAUUUUUUAGCUUUUGUUUCUUCUAGCAGUCUAUACUACUUUGUAUAUUGAGAGCGUACAGGUACAGCUGUCCCUAAUAUAUCGUGACAGAGAAACUCCUUCUGUAUACCUGUUGUGAUCAACUCGGGCUGUAUGCCCUGGAGAACGAGACACAUGCACGCGGGCGACAAUUCUGAUUUAAAUUUUGAAUUCAAUACCUAAACAUUUUGAGAAUUUAUAUUUAUAUAGGUCCGGUCAAAUAGAGACAUACACCACCAUUUCGAUCAGGGACAAACAUGAAGCAAAAAUUAAUCGAACAGAAUACAUGAUAUAAUUCAUUGUCUCAGCUGACGUGUAUCCGCAUUAUAUUCACUGUAUUAGGAGAAUAUCCACCAACAAACAGCAACAAUUCUUCUUUCGCGAAAGCUUCAAGUUAAGGUGAAAGCUAGCAGAAAAAAUUUAAAAACACACAAUAGAACAAAUACACUUACCUUAGCAAUGAAUAUCAAGUAAUAUAUUAAAAACGGGAGCACGGAGACUCGAUCCCUGGACAAACAAACGUCUGCUAAGCUUCGCGCAUACACUAUCGAAUAUAUGAAGAAAAACUCGACUAGCAUCUAAAAAGCUCGUGCCUUCCUCGAUAAGCAGAAAAGAAUAGUAGCCGUUCACGUCUCUUACCUCCACUCUCUGAGAGAAAGUCUAUCAGACUCGCCAUUAACCUGGCAAGAAAAGCUUUGGCGUGUGCCUUUCACCCAUAUAAUUCUACGUUGGAUAAAACCACCUACUUCAACAAAUCUAGCAUGCCCAAAACGAAUCUAUGAACUUGCUACAUGGAGCAAUCACUCCUAUCAUAAAAAUGAACGAACGCAAGCUAUCACACAUGUUAACAACUGCUAAGCAUUAAAGUCCUCCAAUAUAACAGAAAAGACAGACUAUAAUACCCCAGCAAUGUACUACCCAAUACCCUCACUCAAUUUUGCUACUUCGGCCAAUAUUAACUAAGUAUCUCUACUUGACUGUAACAAAGCAAAUAGAAAAAUUCGUGUAUCAUGAGCUUCAGCUCAAAACUAUAAACAUAUGAUGAUUCAGAUAAAGAUCAUAGAGACAUCAACUAUAACGUCCAUUCUCAAUUCAUCGCCUAAACAAAUGCAUGAAAUUGAUAAACCCCAUAUAAACAGGACAAAAGUUCAAAAAAUAAAAAACACCGAGUGAGAGGAAAAGAGAGCAGAUUUUAAUUAUUGCCAACUUUUUGUCCUGUUUAUAUUUUACAAUCAAUUCUCAACUCUGUGGCUAUCGAAAUUGAAAUGGACGUCAGAUUGAUGUCUCAUAUAUUAUCAAUCAUGCAUUCUUAGUUUUAGUCGAGCUAUUACACACGAUUAUUGCUAUUUCUCUUGUAACAAAUUAGAGAUUACCCGGUAAUAUGGCGAAGCACAAAAAUGUUGAGGAUUGGAGUAUCAUUGCUUAUUACCAAUGUCCCCUGCUCUUAUUCUGUUAUACUUGGAGGGACUUUAACCCUUAGGCAGUUGUUAACAUGUUGUGAUUUGUCGCAUUUACUCAUUACUCCAGUCAGAGCGCUAGAGUGCGUUGGGCAAUGCUAAUAGUUGAAAUUAAGUGUACGCAUGUUACUAUGGAUUGAAAAGGCACACGCCAAGCUUUUCCCUGCGCAGUCUAACUGGAGUGAUACACGACUUUUUCUCCUCUUGUACUACUAUUUUCAUGAAUCAAUCACUGUUCAUUCUAAUAUUGCAGCGACGUUGUGAUUUAGGAAUUCCCUGUUGAUAACAAUAAACUAAGAGUAUGUUCUCCGUUUUUUAAAAUAUUUCUAGCUAGUCUUCACCCUAAACAUUGAGAAAUCGAAUCGCCAAAUUGUUACAUCCAGUUUGUUUGAUAUUUCCUCCAUAAUACAUAUACAUCCGCGGCCCAGAGCCCGCUCGGGGAUUCUAGGACUCCCUGUUCGAUUUUCAAAUGCAGCCCUCACCUCAGCGCUCAUCAUCUCUCUAUAUAUAAACUAUAUAUAUAUAAUAUAUAUAAAAUAUAUAUAUAUACGUAAUAUAUAUAAUAUAGAAUAGGCUACUAAUACUAUCUAUGAGUACGGCUUCCGUACUAUAGUUUGUUCGCUAGCUUCUAAAGAUCAACGAUACCACACCGUCAAAAUAGAUACUAGGUAUAUGAAGUUCUUAAAGAAAUAAAAUUUUAUUUUUUCGGGGAAUCAGUUUACCUGUGAGGUAAAUAUUAUGUCAAAAUGACGGUGAUAAUUAAUAUCCUUAAAAUUUGGAGGUAUAGGUACUGUUAUUCAUUCAAGAUCAAGAAUGUUCUUCUUAAUCUAUAUUAGUUAAAGAAUUUUCUAAAUCAAUUUGAAUAAAUGACGAUCUCCUUAACCGUGAAUAGUCUCUCAAACUCGAUCAUAUAUAUCAUUGAAAUUGACAAAUUUUGAAAAUAUUUGGAUCAACAAAGUAAACCAUUCGAAAAAUAAAAAUUAUUCGUAAAAACUUAAAUACCUAGGAUCAAUUUAACUGCGUGGGAUCGGCGUAUAUUUGAGCGGCCCAGAAAUCGAAAACAACACUCAUAGACCAAGCCCCUACUAUAGAUAGUAUAAUAGCCGAUUCUAUCUAUAUAUAUUACUAGUUGAGCUACUUAUACUUUUACAAGUAUACCAUCAUGUGCAUUAUGUUUUAACCAAUUGGAUCUGAGAAGUUUUGAUAUAUAAUAAGCCCUUGAUCAAACACUACUCCACACCUAUCCAUCCACCUCUCACCCGUACGGCGGCCAGUCAUGGGUCUCACCUCACUCUCUCCAUCUCAAGGGCUAAAAAACACAAGUUAUACAAGCGCUGCGAUGACCUUUAAUUUAUGUCGUAUGCAUAUGCCUUGCUCAUCUGUAUCUACUUCGAAAGUAAUUUUUCUGAGACGACUUCUAACCUUAUCAGUGGUCGACUAAUGAUGAAUAUAUAACAGACAUCUAAUUUAUUCCCAGUUAUAUUAUGAAGUUAAGCAAAUUUGUAUUAAUGCAAAUUAUCUGAUAUCAAAAAAAGAGAUUUAGUUAGCAUUACCGAAUCAAAUACCAUCUACAAUUACCUGUCAAAGCAACAGCAAAAAAUAAACAUAUUAGUAUUAUAAGCUAGGCCUGUAAUCUAAUCGGUCAAACCGAGACCUCGUGCUACCAAAUGGUUCAAUGGAUACUCGCUCUCCGAGAGAGAGUGAUCGCUCGCAUUAGACCUGAUCUAAACAGGACCUAUAAUAAAAUAUUGGCAAUUAAAUUUUCAUAAUUUUCGUAUCUCAUUACUUAUCAAACGUAUUCUAAAAAUAUUAAAUCGUUUGAAAAAUAAAAUUUCGGAAUAAAAAAUGAUGAUAAGAAUGAUUAAUUUAAAUCAAAAGUACCGUGAUCUAUCUAAAUUAGGUAAAUAAGUUAUUUCUAUAAACAAUUCUCCAUCUGAUCUUGAUUGUUUUAACCGCUGUAAAUUUACAAAAUCAAUCUACAUCUACCAUUUAAAAUAUCAUCCUGAGACGUUUUUGAUACUAGCGCAAAUGAUGUAAAUAACAAUUAUAAAUAUUUAGAUUUCAAAUAUUUUUAAUAUGUAUGAUCAACGUACUAACGGAGCCGAUGUUAUCUGGGAACGGCAUAAGAAAUAAAUUACUGGUACUCAUAUAAUAUAUUAUAUUCGAGUGUGUGUGCUAAUUAGAGCCACGGAGUGCCUCCGGUCCUCCAAACAUUUUACGACAUGAUAAGCGAGAGAGCGACUGGCUCCGGUUAAUUGAUCCUAUGCGAUUACUUAUCUAGGAAAUAAUUUGUGAAUUCCAUAUCAUAUUUCUAGCAUGAAAGGUUUCAAGAAUCAACACAAUUAAAGUGUUAUAGAUCAUUCGUCUAAGUUUAACAGGUUACGAAUAUUCAAAUCAAUAACAUUGAUAGAAAAUCUUGUAUACUAUUACAGCAAUAGACAAUAGUUUGAUCGAAAAUUUUUAAUUCUGAUAUCACCACUGUUUAGGUGAGGAUUGUUAUUUUCAACCAUUGAUUUUGAACCCUUUCAAUCGUUAGGUAAAUGAUAUCGAAUAGUCACAAAAUUUAUUUUCUAGAUACUUCAAAUAUGCUAGAUCAAGUCUAACGGAGCCGAUUGUCGAUUCAGAAGCUCUAUCAUUGAAAACAGCUUAGGAGCAUGGAGGCCUCCGUGCUCCUAAUAGCACACAAGACCUACUCUCUCUCUCUCUCUCUCUCUCUCUCUCUCUCUCUCUCUCUCUAUAUAUAUAUAUAUAUAUGGUAGAAGCAUGAAGCUCUUUGUGUUUCUAAGUCGUUUUCGAUGUUGGGACUUUCGAAUCGAUGAUCGGUUCUUGUAGACUUGAUCUAGAGCUUUUGAAGUACCAAAAAAAGAAAGUUUCACAAUUUUUUAAUAUCUUUUACUUAGUGGUCAAAAAGACUCAAAAUCAAUGGCUGAAAUUAUAAAUCUCACAAAAUGUGAUAAUAUAACACUAAAAUUUUUUAUCAAAGAUAUUGAUCUCGUUUUAUAUAGUAUAAAAAAAUUUUUAUCAAAAUUUUAUGUGAUUUGGAUAUUUCUACAUAGUUAAACUUACAAACAUCUCAUCACGACUAAGUAAAAUUGUUGAUUUUGAGCCCCUUCGAUCACUCGACAAAUAAUAUCGAAAAAUUACGAAAUUUAUUUUCUAGGUAUUUUAAAUACUCUAGAUCAAGCAUACGGAGUGAAUCGUAGAUUCGAAAAUCUUAAUAUUGAAAAUAAUUUGAAAACACGAGGGCACUGUACUUCUAAUAGCAUAUCAGUCUAACUCUCUCUCUCACUAUAUAUCUAUUCUUAUUAUUAUAAGCAAAUAUGUUUGUUGGUUUCAUCUCGCCCCUUUUUUGUCGAUACAUGCAUAAUUAUCAAAAUACCCUUCACAUCACUAUUAAUAGUAGUUAUUUAAUAAUAUUUGUUGUAAAUUCAAAGUUCAAUUAAAUUUAUUUGAAAUUUAAUAAAUUAUAAAUUGUAUGAGUAACGAAAGAGGCGAAGUGAAAGAGUCUAUCUAUAAAUGAAAAGUUUUUAGAAUUUUUUACAACUAAUCUUUUCAUCUUCCAAAUAGUAAAUGAGAAAGAAAAAAACUAAGUAAUCAUUCUUUUAUGAAUAACAGAAGAGGAGAAGUGGAAAAGCCUAUCAAGAGUCUAUCUUCUUAUAUAAAUGGAGAGUUUUUAGGGUUUCUUACAAUUAAUAUUUUUAUUUUUUAAGCAAUAAAGACAUGAAUAUUAUAUUGUUGUUGUCUUUCCAUGUUCAAAAGAUAUGUUUUAGAUAUUUUUUUUUAAUCUAUUGCUUUCCACCACAAAACAAAGUAAUGUAUAAUUAAUUUUUACAAAUUUUUUUUUCUUAUUUUUAAUAAUUUUGUUCCUCAAAAAAAAGAAGUAUCGUUUUUAUGGACCGGCAUAUCAACUAGAUUUUAAAAUUGAAGGAGAAAGGAAUUAUAGCAGGAGAUACUGUAAGUUUGAAUUAUUAGUUUUUCUUUCUCUUUUUUUUUAUUAUUUAUAAUUUAUUAUCAUGAAUUAUAAAUUAUUGUAUUAUUAUAUUAAAUUAUAUGGUCUUUUAUGGAGGCUUAUAACAUAUUUGAAAUUUUCUAUUCUUAUGGCGCAAUAUGAUGUUCGGUUGAUAUUUUGCUUUCAAUUUUUAUUGUGUAAAGAUAAUAAUAAUGUAUACCGGUAUCAGCUUUUAAGAUCACAGUGCUCUUUGUGUGUGAACGUGAAUAGGUUGUUUAGGCGGUUGGUUGUAUGAAAAUUUAAUUAAAAAAUAUAUAUACAAUAAUGUAAUACUGUUGAAUAUAUAACUAUUAGAGAGAGGGAGUUUCAAUAAUUAAUUUUAUGAUUUGUGAAUGAAUUCACUAUAUAAAAAUUUGUUUUACAGAAAAAAUUACUUGAUCUUUUAUUUUAUAUAUUUAUAUAUAUAUGAAAAAACUUCAAAAACCCCCCUGUGGUUUCGUAGUUCUCACUUCCCCCCUUAUUUUAAAAGUAUCAUAUGCUCUCCUGGUUUUUUUUUUUCUCUACUUAUCAAUUUUUUUUUAUUUGCUUAAAUCAGGAUAAAGUUAAAUUAAAGCGUACUAAAUGUGAAUAAUUGAUAAUCUAGUAUGUAAGAUAUCUUUAAAUUUUUGAUAUUAAUAAUGCAAUAUUAACGAAAAGCUACCGAAAAGAUCAAAAAUGAAUACACAGGGUGGCAAAGUGAGAAACUACUAACACGGGGUUUUGAGUUUUCUCUAGAUUAUAUAUAUAUAUUUAUAUAUAUAUAAAUAUACUAUAUAUUAUUAAUAUAUAUAUAUAUUAUAUUUGCACUUUACUGCUUGUUAUGUUGCAGUAUCUCUUUUUAAGUUUCAUUAUUUUAAUUAAAUUUCAAAUAAUAUUAUCAUUCUUUUUUUAACAAAUGUAUAUGUAGAAUUAAAGAAUAGAAGUUAGAAAUAUAAUGGUGAUUUGCAAAAAUGAAAUUGGAUCUUACGUUAUUGCCCUAUAAAUGUUUUCUUAUAGUUUUCUAGGUUAGACUAGGAUAUUAUUAGAUCCAUUAAGAGUUUAAUAAUAUGAUAUUUCUUUAUAUAAUUUAGUUUUAUAAAAUUCAAUUUAACUUUCUUCUAUGAUUUCUAAUUUUUAAUUUUAAUUUUAUUUUAUUUUAUUUAGAAAAUAUUUGUAACGCAUAGUUAACUUGACAUUAGAUUAAUCGAAGCUAUAGAAACAACCUACUGCCUCCACCUUCACCACAGAGGAGCAUUUUUUUUACCUUUAAAUGUAAAAAUGUAUAGAUACCCUUUCAACUAUAAGCAAUUAUGAAAUAACAUCCUCAACUUUUUUUAUUUUACUUUUUUAGCAAAAUGCUUGGAGAGAUCUUGCCCUAUAGGCCAUUUUUAAAUAGGCCUCUCUAAUGAUUUUAUUUUUUUGCUGACAUUCUCAAUUUUUUUACUAUUUUUUAAAUUUAAAUUUUAUAUUUACCUAUAUUAAAAAUAUAUCAAAUUUAAUAACUUUAUAUAAUUAUUAAUUAUUAAUUAGUCAAGGGCUUCUAAUCUAAAAAUACUAUACUAUUUAUUUAGUUGUGAAAAAAAUAUUAUUUAUUUAAUUAUUAUAUAAAUUUAAUAUUAUUUAAUAUAUAUACAUAAAUUUUAAAUUUAAUAUUAAAAUAAUUUAAUAUAUUUUUAAUUUAAUAUGUAAAUUAAUACGUGCAACGCACGUGCAUUGACUAGUACAUAACAAAAAGAAAACGAUCACAACUCCUAUUUCCUUUUCGCUGUCUUUUUUUCUUUUUUCUUUUUUUUUUUACUCUUCUCCCUCUUAUCUUUUUCUUCUUCUCUGUACACUCCUCUUCUUUCUACAUUUUUUUUUUUUUAACGUCUUCCUUUUUCUUGGCUGGGUGUGUGGAUGCAGGUGUGAAAUUGGAGGAACUGCGGAGGCGAUGAUCACGUUGGCCUUCUUGACCACGGGGGCUCAAAUUAUUCAUACUCUAUUUUUUUACAUUUAUUCAAACCUUAUAAAACAAUGAAGCAUCUUAGAAUUAUUUUUAUAUUCUUUUUAUAAAACUUGCUAUUUUUAUAGAUUUUUCAUACUACUAAUUUAACAUCAAUUUUUUUAAAAAAUAAAAUAGUUUUGAAAAUAUUAUAUUAUAAAUCAGUGUAUGCACGGGUAACUUGCUAGUUAUAAUGUAUUUACAAGGAUAAGUUACACAUUUGGUCCUCAAAUUAUGAGACAUCAGACACUUUGGUCUUCAAACUUUAAUUUAUUGUAAUUUCAAAUUCGAAUUUUCAGAAUCAUUACUAUAAGAUCCUAUAAUCCAAUUUAGUCGACUAAAUAUUAAUAUAUUCCUAAUGUCGAUGUAAUAUAUCGAAACUUCGGUAGAGUAUAUCGAACUUUAGUCAAAUUGACCAAAGUGUGCGAGAGAGAUAGUUGGACAAAGUUCAUUUAACAUUCCAACAAUGUUGGAAGGGUUAAAGUUGAGUUUCAAGAGAGUUAGAAAGAUUUUAACAUUACUCGACGCGAAUUGGGGUCGAAACGGUGCAAAACUCAAGUCUGGAGCAUUGUUAAUCGAUAAUGCAUUGGAGUGGUACCGGUACCAGGCAGGCACCCGAGAACAGCAGCUCGCGGGUUUGAGUUAAAAAGGCUGUUAAACCGGUGACACCCCUGGUGCGUACCGGUACCAGGUCUGUUACCCGAGGAGGCAGCUCUCGGGUUUGGCUGCUGCAUAACAGUUAAACCGGUGACAAAAUCCCGCGUACCGGUAUGCAGUGCCCCUCGCAGCAGGUUGAGUUUGCUGCAAAUAAAAAAAAUGGAGGGUUUAUUUGCAAAUGUGACAGCCUAUAAAUGACCCCACACCUCUCCUCUCGUGUUCACAGCAGUGAACUCACUUUUCUCUCAUUUCUCUCCCUCUCUCUCUCUAGGAGCUCUCCCCCAAGGCUAAAGAAAGAGAUUGGAAGAGAUCAAGAGGAGAUUUUGGGAGCUUUUGAAGGCUUUGGACUCUCCUACAAGGUGGAGUUUGGAGAGCUAGUAGGUUAAGGUGAGAUUUCAUGCAAGAUAGAUGGUAGGGUUUGGUUUUAUACCCUAAAUCUUUUGGUUUUGAUCUUUGUGCAAGACUAGAAACCUAGUGGAGGCCAUGGAAUCCAUGAAAACUCAUGUUUUCUCAUGUGCUCUCAUGGUGGAUUUCUAGGAUUUGCUUUAAAAGCCCUAGGGAUGGUUCAAAUGAUCUAGAAAUAAUUUUAGAUGGAUUCUUAGAGGAUUCUAAGCUUGUUCUUGCUUAGUUCAAAGAUCAAACUAAGGUAUAAGGCUAUAUGACAUUAAUAAGGCACUAAAAUUGGGGCUUUUGCCCUAGGUUGGUUUAAAGACAAAUUGACCUUGUAGAAACCAAAUUGAGGAUAUUUCUAACUUGUUGGUAGACUCGGUUCGCCAAUCUGACGAGUCUACACAAUGAUAUUGGGAAAAAAGUCUAAUUUGGCUUCGCUUUGCCGCAGGCGAGAGAAUAGAAGCCCAAAAAUCACGAGAUUUGAACCGUAGCACCUUUUCAACCAUACGAGGUAGGUGGUGCUUUCCGAAAUCGAUAAAUUUUCUUUUAUAUCUAAAGUGUCAUUUCUUUAACAUAGGCUAUAUAUGAUCAUUAUGCAUUGUAGAGUUGACCGAGAUAUCUUAUUUGCAUGCUUGUAGUAUAAAGAUGCAUAUGUGAAUGUUGAAUAAAGUGGAAACCCUAUGUAUGUACGAAUGGUGACAAAGACCUAGAUGAGGUAAAGAACAAAAUGACAUUAUGACAUAUGGAUUGUGUGGCAUUAGUAAACACAUAGAAUGUCAUUAAUGAGUUUUGAAUGCUAGAGUUGAACACUUAGUAUGUGUGGCAUUAAUGAAUGCUUGUGAAUGAGUAUAAAGAACAUGUAGUGCAAAUGACAAUAAUGAAAGUUAAAGAAUACAAGUAAAGUUAGAUAGUUGAUAUUAUGACAUAACAAUCUUAAAGUUAAGGGUCAUAUGAGCAUUGUAUCCUUAUAGUGAAGGAUUGGAUUGAACUUGGUAUCCUUAAAGUUAAGGAUUGAUCAUACUCGCCUAUAAGUCUUGGCUCGAAGGGUGGUAGCUCCCCCUCGAGCGAUGAGCUCCGGAGUAUCAUCACCGGGUUAGUGUUGCCCAAAGGACGGUCCCGUCGGGAGGAAGCUUAGGGCCCGAUAGUAGGGAUCGGAAUUGGUAAAUUAUUGGUUGAGGCGAAACCUACGGGUUAACCAAAAGGACCGGGAAUUAAUUGGAAAGUAGAUCUUGCAUUCAUCAUGAGCAUUCUAUUUGAGCAUAGCAUUGAUUAUAUUGUUCAGGCAUAUUAGUUGCAUUUGUUUAGUUGGUUACUAUCUAUCUAUUCUUCUAUUAUACCUGAUUUAGACCUAGUCGGAAAGUCGGCGAGGUGGGCGGCCGAACCCACUGGAAACUUUGUUGUAGUUCUCAUCCCCCUUUUUCCACAGAGCCGGGACCGAGUGAGCCGGCCGACGAUGGUAGUAAAGGUAUUGCGCCAUAGACAGGGACCACCCGUAUUGGUUAUAUUUUUGUGUUGUUGCAUACCCUUUAUAUAUCAUCUUUUGUACUUUGAUGAUUAUAGUUGUAUGAAUGAUGCAAAUGUAUUAAUGAAAGAAUGUAAAGAGUUCUAUUUUCGGGAAUAUGUGAUGUAAAAAAGAAAUGAUGCAAAGAAUAUAAAAGAAUACAAAUGUUGAACUCAUGUAUGUGGUUAAAAUUAAUCAUAUUACUUGUAUGUUGUUUAGUUAGUACUUUCACUUUGGCUAUUGCUUGCCCUCGUGCAAGCCAAGUAUAUUUAUGUUUCAGCUGUGCAAUUUAUAUACUUGAUCUGUACUUGUUGUCGAGGCUUGUGUAAGGACUGAGAUUUUGACAGUGUAGCUGAACUCUCUGUUGACGAUGUUUUUGUGUGUAAUUUAAUUACAUAGCACUCGUCAAGUUUCGGAAGAAAACAAGCUAGAAUGGAGAAGUUACGCGACCAGGACUGAUGACUUAAAGUGAAUAGUAACUCCGGCUUUUCGGAUGAGCCAGUGAGUAAAGAAGGGUUCUGGUGCGUAUUGGACUCUGAACAUAGGACUCCAAUAGCUCAUUUCGAACGGCUCAACUAUUCUGAACCCAAUGGCACUGACGGAAUUGGGCUCUGAUGCUCGGUUGUCGGGAAAAAGCGGUUUGAUUGAUUUCACAUAUAUUAAUAUAGGUGGUUAUAUGGUGGUAUGUAAUGAGGGUGGGUUUUGUCGCAAAUCUGUGAUCAAAUCGGAUGAAACGAAAUUGUAGUUUUGAUGCCCUCAUCAUGCUGAACACGAUGGCGCAGUCGGAUCAAAAAUCCGACGGACGGAUCACCGGAUAUUUCUUGAUGAUCGGGAAGGGGUCGAUUGUGGCAAAUCGGAUACUUCGCAAUAGUCUUGAUAUUUUAUGUAGCGAUUUGCGCGGGAUCAGUCUUGGAGAUGCAUUCGUGCAUUUUACACGUGCUAGCAGGGUCUGAACUAAAAAUAUUUAGCUUUGGAGGACAUUUAAGCAUAAUGCCGCUUGUAUAUAAGUUGCGACUAGGUUUUCGUUGCAUGAAACCCUAGAUCUAGCCGACCCAAAUGCCUAGCUAUGCCCUAGUCUUCACCAGCCAGCUCCUGCCCUAGCCUUGCGCGCACCCCGGCCGCCGGCAAUCUCCCCCGGCCGCCGGAAAAGCUUGGGUGGCCUCUCCUCCACCAUAUUCUCUACCUAACCACCAUAGAUCACCCUUCAUCUCUGUCGUGGGCCUCAGGGAGAGAUCCACUAGCCUCAGGCCUCUUCCCUGGCUACAACCCUAACCCCGGCGCCGUCCCUGCCGCAGCCGAGCGCCGCUACCACCGCCCUGGCUAGUUGCGGCCAGAUCUGAGCAGAUCUGGCCGAGGUUGUGGGAUCUCCUCCUCCUCGCCCCGCUGCCGCUCGGGAUUGGAAGCACCACUCUCCUCGAACUCCCCGGCACCGUCCCUGCUAGCCGUCGCUGCCCGCAUGCGCCGCCGGCGCCGUCGGGACCAUCCGCGACCAUCUUCUGCAGACCCCAGUGGUCCCUGUGGGUUGCCGGCCACCGCCCUGCUUCAUGCGGCCGCCCAGCAGACUCGAGCUGAGGCCCGCGCAGCCUCUGGUCCUCGCAUCGCCGCCGCCUUCGAGCAUCUAGGCCGUCCUCCCUCAGCCUCAGGUGACAUGCCACCGUCGCCCCGGUGCACCUCCGGCCACCGCGGGACCGCCGCUGCUUCCCUGGGCCCGAGCCAAGCCCGUGCGGGCUCGGGUUGCUCCUGAGCCGCCGUCGCCGUCCUCCGUCACCGACCGACCUGAGUGCUGGCCUCCCCUGGUUGGCCGGACCCGUCCGCCGCCAGCUAACUCGCCGCCGGAGCUCCCUGUCAACCGUUCUGAGCCCAUGCUCUCCUCGGGUUGUGCAACGAGGGCAUCGUUGCCCGCCGUCGUCGCCUGUUGACGCGAGCCCCGGCCCUCUCUGACUUGGCGCACCUACCCCUGGCCGGCCUGCCCACCGUCCGGCCGUCGCCGGCCACCCUCGAGCCCUGCCUAGCUCCGGUAAGCUAGUAUUGCAAUUAUUGUGCACUGUUUGGAGAUGUGUAUACUGUUCCGGCGACCCGAGGCUGUUCCGAUGCCUCCGGAAGUGAGCACGGUGAUCGUCAGUCAGUGCUGAUCACAGUGCUCACCUCAAUUGGGGUCAACGAGAGUCGAAUGUGUUAUUUUGAAGUGUUUUAGUUUCAACGCACAGUUUUCGCUAAAGUUCGCGUCGCUCGUGCGCUUGCCACAGUGGCCAGCAGUGCUCCGAAAGGUGAGCAUGGUCUCCGGCACAUCGAGACCUGUCAGCGGGUGUCCCGGCUCGGCUGAAUGAGCAUCGGUUUACGCUGUCGGGCCAUAAAACCCCGAAAAUUGCGUGAAAUAAUGCGAUUUCACGUAAUAGGGAGGGUUUUUAUGCAUUUGUGCUUAAUGUGGUUGCUGUGGGUAGUGUGUAGGAAGAGUGGGUGACCUCUGGACUGAUCGUCCAAGGCCCCAAGCCUUUGCGAAAAUCGAAAAGUGAUUUCCGGAGCGUUUUUCGACAAAAUCCGCUGACGGAACGCGUUUUCGGUUCGGAACUCUUCCGACGAUACUUCAUGAUGAGUUGUUUAGUCGCUGAGCCUUGUUGGCUGGUCACUCGCGUCAUUUCGAGGGUUUAGAAAUGAUGGAUGAGCGACGGCGGGUUCCGGUGUCAAAAUAGACACUUUUGGGAACCCGGAUCCGAACGAUUAUCCGACGAUAAUUGUUUGGAGACGAUAUUUUGUUUUUGCUGCCAAGUCACACUAAAAUAGGUGUUUUGUGGUAGCGGAUGACUCGUAUCUUGAGUCGGUGUGUCCCGGGACAGUUCGUGGGUCCCGGCGGAGUUCCGGUGAGGUUUUCGGGACUUCCGGCGUGUACGGCAAUCGGUUUGGGAAACUGAUUUCCGUGGGUUUAUUUGUGGGGUUAUGUGUUUAGUAUUUUUUAGUUGUGGGUUAGAUAUUAACCCGAUGGACCCUCCGUAGGUCCGGUUGUCUUUCUUUUGCAGUCAGGAGAUAGACGUGACAUCCUUACAGGUGGAUACUUCAAUCCGACGUUGGUACAGUGGUGCACGCUCAGUGAUGGUUUCUUACCCUUGCUCUUUUGUUAUUAUCCAUGCAUAUAUUAUAUGUUGAGCUUUGCACCUCUAUUGUUUACAUUACACUCUACUCAGAUGUUCCCAUGCUUAGUAUCAGGUGUAGGAGUAGAGUAGUCUAUCUAUUUGUGAUACCUAUGAUCGGGUUGGUCGAUCCUCGUACUUCGUAUUAGUGACCUGGUUGGUCGAUUCUCGUAUUUCGUAUUGGUGACCUGGUUGGUGGUUUCUUGUACUUCGUAUUAGUGACCUGGUUGGUCGAUUCUCGUACUUCGUAUUGGUGACCUAGUUGGUGGUUUCUUGUACCUCGUAUCAGUGACCUGGUUGGUCGGUUCUUUGACUUCUGUUGUCCGAUGACCGUUGAGGUCGGUGUACCCUGAGGGGUAGGAUUGUCGGCUAGUGGCUGACGGUAGUUCCAGAUUAUAGUGAUACAUUCCUGUGAUCUAUUGGUUGGUUCUUAUAUCUAUACUUUAGUUGACCUAUCGAGCAGUAUUUCCAUACUUUUGAGAGGAUGUAGAGUCGUUCCAUCCUAGUUGACCUGAGUGGUCGGUUUUUGUGCUUCCUUACAGUUGAUAACCUAUACGGUCGGUGAGCCCUGUGGGCAGGAUUGUCGACUGGUUGCCGACGGUUGACCUUUGAGCAUAUCAGCAUUGAUCGCCCGAGACUCGUUCGCAUUUCACGAACACCGGCGGUCUGAUCCACCGCAAGGGGUGUUCUUUUUCGGAAAAGUGGUUGCAGGUGUUAACCCGUGAGCCCAAGAGGGGUUACAUGCAUGGUAGAGUGGCAUUAGUACUGUCAGGAGGUUUGCGGUGCGGACCUCCAGGGCACAGGCUUGAGGUUUAGGUACGGACCAACAGAGCAGCAGAUUUCAGAUUGGGUAUAUUUGGUCUAUACAUCCAGUUGACGCAUAUGUCUAUAGUAGCAGUCGUUGCAUGCAUACUUACAGUUCUUACUUUACAGUUGUCUUGCUACUAUAGUAGAUAUUUAUGUAUGCUUUCUGUUCUAGUUACAAUAGCGGUAGCCGUUAUUCAGUAUAGUUCCUACUUUCUUUCAGUUUAUUACUACUGUAUUCAGUAUAUCUGCUCAUUACCUUAUUUAUCUCUUUCUGAUCCGGUGAGUACUCUUCGCCUUCAUCGGCUUGCGGAACCCACUGGGAGGGGAGACAUGUUUACAUGUUCUCACCUCCCCCACCAUUUUUCAAGUAUUGCGGGCCGUGAGUUUGAGACGAGACGUGAGACACGUGGAUAGCUGUCGAUAGAACUUCUGACCCGGUUUGUGUAGUUUAGUUACUACCUUUGUUAUUUCUGUUGAUAUAACUUAGACAUCUAUAUGGUUCAGUAUUUCAUUAUGUUUAAUUAUUCAAGAUUUCAGUUGGUUUUUCGAAUGAGAUAAAGAUUUCUGAAUUUUUGUAAAAAGGAAAGGUUUUCUACCCCUCGUGGUAGCGUGUUUUAAAAAGAAAAGGUUUCCGUGUGGGAAACAGCUUUCAAAAGAGUUUUCUCAUAUUUUUCUUGAAUUAGUAUUUCAAAAUAAGUUUCUGGGGAGGAAAUGUUUCAACUGAUAGUUGUGGAUUUAUAUUCAGAUCUAUGCUUAUGAACCUGUGGUGAAUGGUGUAUGGAUAUUGAAUGUAUGAUGACUUGUAUAUUCAUUUAAUUGUGGUUGUAUCAUGUUUUACAUUUUGUACUUGUGCGACGCCGUGCAAAUACAGGGGAGACUUUGUCCGUGUGAACAGUGGAGUCCCUGUAUUUGUGGCGGAUCGGCAUACCCUGGGGUCAGGUUUUCAAAAAAAAAAACUCUAGUCACUUCCGCUGUAUUUUCAAACUAAAAGGGACCCCGGGGCGUGACAGCUUGGGCGAACAGGGGAGGUGCUGUCCGUUCGACGUCUGUUCGACGUGCCCGAACCGAUCAAAUAGGCCGGGCUUGGAGCGUGACAGUCGAACUAAUACAACAAUGUUAUAAAUGAUGUAAUUUACGCUAUUUACAGUUGAGCAAUGCUAGAGCUACAACCUAUUUUGCAUUGUAAUCUUGCAACCCUCGAAUCCAUGAACCUCUUCUUCUUUAUUUCUCAUGUUACCAUCUAUUUUUUCACCUAAAAAAGGGCGCGUUUGGUUCGCGUUAUCUUUUUAAGAUACCCAGUAAUCCAAUCGGAAUGUCAAAAUAUGACAAUAUUUGGCUAAAUACAUUAAGUAAUAUAUUUGGUAAUUUUAAAUUCACUUGGUAAUGAGAUUAAUCCCAAAGUGCUAAUCAUAUUCCAUUGGGAGAGGGUAGGUAUCUCACAUUAAUUAUUCGGGUAAUGUUAAAUUUUUUUAACCUAACCUAUUAUUUCCUCCCUCCCACGUUUGAGAACCUAUCCCCGAUCUCCUCUCACACCAUGCGAGACUCUCCCCAACCUCUUCUCUCGACCUAGGGUACCAUGCCAUGAUCAUCUCCACCAAUCGCAAGGGCAUCGCUCGCCAUCUAGGGUUUCCUUACUCCAGAACAAGGUUCGUUAGAUAAUUUCGUCUCCAUUUUCUUUUCCCAUUUCAAAUCCCAAUUCCUUUUUUUUUUGAUUUUUUUGAUGGAUUUAUUAUUAUGCGACGAGCAAAAUUUUUCUAGUUUGUAUUGAUGCUAUAAAAUGUUGUUUAAAUAGGUUUAGUGCAUUAUUUAUUUUGAUUUUGAAUGGAUUUAUUGUUUAAAUGAGUUUUUAUUCUAUUAGUUUUGAUUUGGAUGGGUUUAUUGGUUAAUUAGUUUAGAUUUUGCAUGGAUUUGUUGUUCAAUGCAUGUUUUUCCAGUUUAUAAUUGUAUCCUCUGAUUUCCUGCAGUAUUAUUUUCAUAAUAAAAACUUUGAUUUGGUUAAUAAUUUCACGCUGCACAUUUUCAUCAAUCUAUAAAAUAAAUAAAAAGUGAGCUUAGAAUUAAUCAACCAUAAAUAACAGAGAGUAACCAAAAGUAUGCAAUGAAAGAGCACUUGAUUUGAAGGAAUAGGUUCAAUUGCAACCUUAAAUGUGUAAAGGGAUAUCUGCCUUGGUGAAAAUAGAAGGAGAAGUAUGAAGGUGAUAAUCAAACAAUAAAAUAAGAUAUUCUCUCUGUAGAAGUUGCGUUAGAUCCACGGUUACUAUUUUUCUUACUAUAUUGCACUUUGUUUGCCAAGAAGCUCAAUGACAGCAAUACACAAGUCACGCUUCAAGGAUGAUUUACUUCAUUCUAGUGUCACUAUUUUUAGAAAUUUAGAUAAUCUUAACUAAUUGUUAAUGUCUAAACAUAUAGUAGUCGUAAUUUUUGCCGCUAAAUUGAGCUGAUUAAAUAGAUUCUAUGCUUUUGUAGGUAGAUUCUUUCUUGAGUAUGAAUGUUGUGCAUGAUAUUGGUAAAUCAGUACGCCGUCAGAUUCAUGAAUCUCAUAGUCAAGUUGCAGAAGCUUUCAUACACAUAGGUAGCUAAUUGAUCUUUUAUCUGAAAGAUUCAGUAUUUUUUGAGAAUAUUUGUUAUUCCUAGGUAAUUAACAUCAUGCUUUUGAAUAUGCUAGAAAAGUUGCUUUAUUAAUUUGAACAAAUGAAUAAGUUAAUUCUCUGAUAGUAAUAAAAGAAAGUUGAGUUGAAUUUUUCUUUCUAUUUGAACAGAUGAAUAACUACUUUUUUAAUUUAGUUUGACAGAAUUUUUCUUUCUAUUUUCUUUAUUUUAGUUGUGUUGAAGGUGGAUCUAACUUCAAAAAAGUUCCUGCUCGUGGUCGUGAGCAUUAUAAUGAUAUAUAUGGAGGUGAUUAGAUUAUUGCUACUUUAAAAUUAGUGGUUGUACUCUUUUAUGUUAGACAAUACAUGAGACACCGUUGGGGAGGAAGACUAGCAUUACAAAGGCACUUCAUAAGACAUAUAAAUAUUAGGAGAAUAAUUUAAGACAAUGAUCUGGCAUGUUAUGAGAACACUCGUAUGGAUCGAAGAGCAUUUCAUGCACUUUGUGACCUUCUAUCGACUGUUGGGAGAUUAAGCGGGACCUAAAAUAUGGCAAUAGAGGAAAUAGUUUCUUUCUUUCUACAUAUUAUUGCACAUGAUAUAAAGAAUAUGUUAAUUAAAAAGCAAUUUGUCAGAUUAGGUGAGACAAUAAGUAGACAUUUUAGUAAUGUCUUAAUUGCUAUCUUGCGAUGCCAUGAAAUAUUACUAAGAAAGCCUAAACCAAUUUCUGAGAACUCAACUGAUGAAAGGUAGAAGUGGUUUAAGAUAUAGCUCCUUUUUUUUUAUUGAAUCAACUAAAAAUUAUAUAGUUAGUUUCAAUAUGCAAACAACAACGCACAAUUUUAAUAUGCAGAAUUGUCUUGGUGCACUAGAUGGAACUCAUAUCCUUGUUCAUGUCCCUGUAGUUGAUAGGACUAGAUAUCGAAAUAGAUGUUGGGGAAAACCGCAACGAAAAAUCUGAUUGUGACUAAAAUCUAACUAAUUUUGUGAUAAAAUUAAUAAAUUUGACUUAUAGAUAAUCGCUAAAUCCCAAAAAUUGUGGAAGAAUAAUAUCAAACAAUUUGAUCCGGAAGCGUACGAGGCACUGCCCUAAGGCGUGUAUUCUCGUCCUUCGUGCGGGAUUAAUCGAAAACACCGCCCCAAGGUACAACCGGAAUUCUUUCUCCUACGGACACGAACGUGGAAGAGGUUGACGGAGACUCUUUCAACACCCGAUGAUAAAAGAAUCAAAUCAAAUGGAUUAAAACAACAGAAAAAUAAACAACUCUCAAUAGUAUUUUAAUUUUCACUUUCUCUUUCUUUUUUUUGUCUUUCUUCUCAAGCAAGCUUUCUCAAUGUCAUAACCAACUCAUGAAUAGUGGAGCCUUUUUAUAAUAAACAAAGGGUUAAAAUUUGAACGUUGCACUUUGGAACGUUGUGGAACGUUCGUCCGCUUCUCGCACACGAGUGCGAGCGGAGAGGGACCGCGCGUGUAACGGUGCGCACGAGGCGCAAGCCGAAAUGUCUACAAUAAAAACUUAGGUUAAAUAAUAAUAAAAUACCAAAAUAAUAAUAAUAAUAAUAAAUUAAUGAAUUAAAAAUAAAAUAAUAAUUAUUGAAAAAUUUUGAAUUUUUUACCAACAAUCCCCCACAAAAAUUUAAAAUUUUUGAAAUAAGAAUUAAACUCAAAAACAAAAUAAAUAAAUAAAUCACCGGGUGUUUGUACUAUGCAAUAGGUAAGGUGUCUUUAAGGACUUAAACCUACUUAGUGUGUAAGCAGUUUCCAUCAGAAGGAUUCGGAGUGAACCAGGUCUUGAACUACAUUCCUUUGACCCUGACUUCAGCUACCACACACAGAGUACAGAAUUUUUUAUCGCGGGUCUGUGUGUUAAUGACCAUGUACAGUACCUUCAUUUUUCAUAAGAGUUUCUAUGGACAACCCACAUCUCAUAGCCGUGGUCACAUACGGAUACUCUUAUAUAGGUGGUUUUCUCCAGGGAUGUGUGUAGAGUCACAUCUCGCGAAAAUUACCGCCUCGGAUCCCAUUAAGAGCUGUAAGCUCAACCUCAACCACUACACAGAGCACUACUCACCAUAGGGAUGGAAUUGGAGCUAAAGCUCUUCUAUAUAAAUUGUAGAAAGUGCUUUUUUGCCAACCUGACAGCUUGUUUUUACCACAUUGAACCUUAUUCAAGGCAUCUUCUAUCACAAAGGUUGAGUUUCCACUACAGGAAGUGUCACGCCCCGGAUUACUCGUUCCCCGGGAGCGCCGACAAAUCCGCCGUAUACAAAGAAAUUUUUCCUGUAUACGAAGCGAUAGCUGUACCUGUAAAUCAAACAAUACUACAAACAGUAGUAUAGAGCUGCUAGGAGAAACAGAAGAAAACCAAACCGAGUUCCAUAUACAUAUACCAGAAUCCAAAAUACAAAGCUACCCGCACUGGCGAGUUAAAGAUAGGUAAGUACAUGAACUCCAACAAAACAACUACCUGCAGUAGGGCACCUCUAGCACGGCUCGUCGGGUAGGGCUCUAACUCGCGACGCCCUUGCCUCGAUCCUAAUGAGCAAUAGCAGCAGCCGAAGACGAUGGCUCUGCAAAAGAUGAAGUAACAACAGGGCGUGAGAACUACUGUAAAAACAAGUAGUCCUCAGUGGGUACCGCCCAAAAUAAUAUCGGUCCACCCACUAAGUCUACAGAAGCGAGCAAGAAUAGUAGUAAAUGCAGGAAUACAAUCUACCGCUAUCAAACACUACACUAUCAUGCUCUACACUAACCAACUGUAGGAAAUGUCAACUCUGACCCAAUCCAAAUCGGGACUGUAAGCAUACCCGUCCCCGGGACUGUGAAUACACCCGUCCCUGCCCCGUUGCGACUAUCGGGCUCUAUCCACACUAACUGGUCCGUGGAGAGCAAGUCCAACUGGCAUGAGCGACACCAACGCGAAAGCACAUAGCCUGACUCCGGAGUGGCACUCGUGGGCGCUACCCAACCGAGUAUGCAGCGUAUCUCUGUCGAGCUCAAUCAGGCUCCAACUAGCCAAAGUCAAGUGAACAGGGUCAAAACAGGUCUACAAACCAAA